UGUAAACCUUGGCGCCGUAUCAUAUCAGAUCCUCAGUUUGCUAAGAUGCAUUUUGCCAGUGCACAGCCUUGUCCUCUGGUUAGGACUUUGGGUAACUCAAGAGUUUCAAGAAUGCUUUACCUAAUUGAACCGUCCGAGAUUAAUGUGAGCUACAAUUCAGAUAACUAUUCUCCUGAUGGGGUUAAUUUGAAGCUAGAGACCAAGUUGAAGAUCCCGCUGCGCAAUGCUGAAAUGGUGCCUCAGAAUCCUAGUGGUGCCAAAUUGAGUCUUUGCAGUAAGGGUGGCUCUAAGAAGCGUUGCAUGAAUGUGAGAACCAUAAAAGUGAGGACGAAAGAGCAGAAGUUCCAAAUUGUCAAUUCAUGCAAUGGAAUUCUUUGCUUGUCAGAUCCCUCAUAUAACAAUCCUCUUGCCAUAUGUAACCCAGUAACAGGCGAGUAUUUAAACCUUCCAGCGAUAGAUGAAGUUGAUAACAGCUUGAAUGAUAUAGUAUCUUGUGGAUUUGGCUUCAGUGAGAAGACUAACGAAUAUAAAGUUAUUAGAUUGUUUGAUCAAGGACGUCCGGAGCUUAUUAGUUGCCCAAUUACAGGUAAAGAAGUUUUUGGUAAAAGAGUGGCUGAGGUACACACAGUUGGCUCAGGAUCUUGGAGACGCAUUGGUCAUGCUCCAUCUUAUGGUUGUGAACUGAGAUUUACUACCUGUCUGAAAGGAUCUCUUCAUUGGAUCCGUAAAGAUGACAGGAAAUUGGAUUUCAUAUACUCUUUUGAUCUCAGCCAAGAGCAAUUUAAAGCAAUUCAGCCACCUCCAUUAGAGCACCGGAUGAAGGAUUGGGAUAAUCUGCGUAAUCUGAGCCUGGGAGUGUUAAAUAAUAGCUUGUGUUUGUGUGUCGGCCCAGUCUUUGAUGACAUCGACAUAUGGGUUAUGCAGAAACAUGGUGAACCCAAAAGUUGGACAAAGUUCAUUUCAAUUAACUUGUCUGUUUAUGAUAGAUGGCCAGUCGGUGUCUACCACCCCAUAAAUUUCCUAGAAAGUAAAGGGCUGUUGAUGUUUCAGUGUCCUAAAAGUGCAUUCAUGUAUUAUGAACCUCAAUUUGAUCAAUGGAAGUACUUCAGAAUUCAAGACAUCAAAAUGAAAUUUGAAGCAGUUGCUCAUACUCCAAGUCUCAUCUUGCUCAAGGAUGUUGUGACUGGUGACAAUGCUGAGAUACUGAAUGUCAAUUCAAGGUGAUGUUUUACUGAGUCUUGAUUUGUCUUAAUUAAACUAUUGCUUUUGAUAUGUUAUUCUUUGUCUCUCCUUUAGGGUACUAGUUGAUGUUGCAUUGGAUCUUAGUCUUGUUCAAUUAAGCUGAGGAUUUAUUUUCCUUUGCAAGGGGUAGACUAAACAAUUACACCCGAUAUUAUAGACCUCUGGGGAAAAAUCUGAUCAUCACAGAUUUAGUUUGUGCAACCAGUUAGGAGCACAUGUAAAUUCCUAUGCUGUUUUGCAUGAAAACAUCACUACUAAAACUCUGCAUCUUCAAAUGAACCAUACUGACAUUUGUUGCUGACGUUCUCUAUAGCUCAAAAUCCAUUAUAUCCGAUAUUAUCAUGCUCAAAAUUGCAUAUCUCUUGUAUGAAUGAGCAAAUGAGAUGACUUGCACUUAUGCGUGUAUAUGCUUAUAAGGCAUUAUUUUUCAUACAUUUUUUACUCAUGUUUUAAAUUGAAGACUUGUAAUUGUGGGUCUAUUUUCUUGAGUUUUAUGUUGAUGCAACACCUGCUCGUGCUUUUCUAGUUGUUGAUUGAGCAUGAUGGUCUCAAAUGAAAUUAAGUGCUAUGCCUGGAUAGAUAGUUUAAUAUAUACUAUUAUAACAGUGUUCAAAGAGGUUUUAUGACUUCAGAAGCUGCAUUUCCUUGUCUAUUAUUUUGUAGUGUCUUUUUUAGAGUUCGCUGUUUUAGCUGUUAAGGACUAAGGACUUGUACAUUUCGUGGGAUCCUCGUGUAUGGCGCUUGCUUGAUGCCAUCAAUCUACUCCGUGUGAUAGAACUUAGUAACUAGGAUUAUAAGUAAUCUUAUCGGCCUGUUGAUCCUGCCAAGUGGUUCAUUUUCCAAAUAGUUUUGCUUUCAUUAAUUUUGAUAUUGUUGUGCAGUAGAAAUGUUUAACUAGAUUUUUUAAUGUGCAAUCAAUCAUUUAGUAUACAAUGACGUAAGGAAAUAAGACUACUAGUUUUGCAGUCCCAAAAUGCUGUCAUUCUUAUGGUAUGUGCUCUGUUUUUUGGUUUACGACUUUCCAUAAGUUUUUUUUAUCAAGUUGUACAGUAUUAGAUACUGUUUGUACACACAUACUGAUUGGCUGCUGUUAGUUUCGGCAAUUAUUAUUUCGUAAUACCCAUAAGGAAUAAUACACAGGUAAGACAACCUUAGCAAUUGGAGAUGGAGCAAAUGAUGUUGGUAUGAUUCAAGAAGCUGAUAUUGGAGUCGGAAUCAGUGGCAUGGAAGGAAUGCAGGUAAAUAUUUGGCUGGCUUCUUUUUUUUUCAUUACUAUUAAUUUCGCGAAUAAGGUUUGAUAAAUUGAAUCCAAGCAUACACAGCAAUUAACUGAGGGAUUCCACAUUGAAAAACAGCAUUUUAUCUACAAGAAUGGAUGACAGCUACUUGCUACUUGUUUAUCAAUUACUAACUAAUAUGGAAUGAGUUUCUGAAACCUUGUGUCAAUGCAACAUGCAGGCGGUCAUGGCAAGUGACUUUUCUUUGCCUCAGUUCUAUUUCUUGGAACGUUUACUAAUAGUUCAUGGGCAUUGGUGUUACAAGAGAAUCUCCAAGAUGGUAAUACUCCAUCCUAUCUUGUGUUGCGUGUAUGCAAGUGCCCAGAAAAGAAAGAUAAUCGACUUUAUUAAGGUUCACUGACACAAAUUUUGUUCUGCUGCAGAUUCUCUACUUCAUGUACAAAAAUGUUGCAUUUGGCUUGACAUUAUUCUACAAUGAAAUUUACAGCAAUUUCUCCGGUGAUGAUCUGUAUGACGAUUGGUAUAUGGUCCUAUUCAAUGUUCUGUUGACAUCUUUGCCUGUGAUUGCACUAGGUGUUCUAGAGCAGGAUGUUUCAGCUGAUGUCUGUCUGCAGGUGAGAAGAAACAAGUUCUACGAUUUCAUAACACUAGCCUUCAUUGUUUGAAACCUCAGAUAAACAUGCAAUUCUCACGCGUCCCCAUCCCUACUGUCCCCUGAAAAAGCUAAUCUUCUUGCAAGAUUUUAACUUGAUUAACCAUUUUACCGUCACUGGAAUAGUUUCCAGCACUUUAUCAACAGGGACAAAGAAACAUAUGUUUCAGCUGGAAACGUAUCUUUGGCUGGAUAUUGAAUGCCACUCUUUCUUCUGUAGCUAUCUUCACAGUCACCAUAUACAUAUUUUCUCCAGCUGCACUCAGACAAGAUGGAAAGGUGGCAGAUCUAGCACACAUCGGUACCAUCAUGUAUACAUGUGUAAUCUGGACAGUAAACUGCCAGAUUGCACUCAUAGUCACACACUUCACUUGGAUUACCCAUGUUCUGAUCUGGGGAAGCAUCUUGUGCUGGUAUAUCUUCUUAGUCUUGUAUGGUAUGCUUCCUCCUGAGCAUUCUCAAGGUGGUUUUCACAUCCUUAUUGAGGCCAUUGGGACUGCACCAAUGUAUUGGAUUGUAACAUUUCUUGUAGUAGUUGUUACACUCCUUCCAUACUUCAUUUUCAGUAUAAUCCAAAGAUCAUUCUACCCCAUGGAUGAUCAAGUGAUCCAAGAGAUCAAGUACGGUAGAACGGAUGUAAGCAACAAACCAAUGUGGUUGAGGGAGCAGCAGAACUCCAGGAAGAGGACUCAAAUUGGAUUUUCUGCAAGAGUUGAUGCAAAAAUUCGUCACUUGAAGGAAAGAUUGCGCCGAACGAAAAAAUGAAUAUACGAAUUUGUCACAAAUAGCUAGUUUAACAAUCAGCUGGAACCAGUCAAGUGACUAAAUGAUUAUUAAGUGUAUAACUUCCUCAUUAUCAUCGAAGUAUAUUGUAAUUAUUUAGCAAGUUAGAAAAUAAAGCAUGGCUAGCAGCUUUAGCAAGGCUUAGAGUUAUGCAGGUGAAGUCCCUAAUCUGCAUUUCUUGCGAACUUAACUUGUCUUGGCUGUGAUUUCUGGUUCUUUUUGGAAGGAAAUUAAACCGAACUGUAUUACCUAAUCUUUUAGUCUAUUGUUUGGUGUGUUGUUUGUCUAGUUUCCAUAUUAGAUUAGGGAAUCUCAAUCAGUUUCCAGUUAGGUUUUGAUUUACAUUUGUAUUUGUUUUAGGAAGUUUUAGAGUUUAUAAAUAUUACUAGUUUAGUAGGUUAUUAAUUAAAGAGUAGAGUUAGGUUGAAUUGAGUCUUUAAAGAUAGAUUUGAGAGAGUCUCAUAAUUGAAUUUGUAAGUUGUCAUUAGUGAAAGGCUAUGACUUGAUAUUUGUUUUUGUUGAGUUUUGAAUUAAAUAAAUUAUUGACUAUUUGUUCUCCUUCUCUUCCCACAUAUUUUUAUAUGUGUCAAAAUUGCUUCCGCUAUACACGUGAUUUUUUGUGCCAACAAGUGGUAUCAGAGUUCUAGAUUCAAGAGUUUGAUUUUGGGUGUCUUUGGUGGUUGGAAAGGUGCAAAAUUUUUUGAUAGAGAAACCUAUACCAUAAAAAGGUAUAAAGGUUGUUAUACGUAUAUUAAAAAAUUGAAUCACAAGAGUUGGUUUUGAAGUACUAGUUCAUUGAUUGGAAUUAGAAAAAAGACCCUAAUUGGACAAAGGUCUAAAAAGAAGGAUUCUGUCAUGAUUAUUGAUGUUAUGCAGUGAUCAAAACAAAAAAGAUCGUGUCAGAUUGUUGAUUGUCAGUUUGUCACAAUAAAAUUUGAUCAAAUCUGAAGCCAGGGAAGUCAAGAAAUUCAAGAAGGGAAGAAAAAAAAUAUUUGUCAAGAUAAGUAAAUUAUUUUGAGUUGUCAUGGAUAGAGAAUUUGUAAGUGAUGAAAAAUUUAAAGUUUUACGCACAUUUAGUGGUGAUAAAGAAAAAUCUGAAUGGUCAAGAAUAAUGCACAAAUAUCUUAAAAAGUGUGGUUUGGGUGAAUUUCUUAAGAUCAAUCAAAAGAAAUUAAGAGAAGGAAGGUCAGAUUAUUUUUCAAAAUAAUGCGAAAAUCAAUGGUUGAAAAGUAUUAUAAAAGGCUUAUCAUCUCUAAUCAAUUGGCUUAGUGGUUUUGGUUAGAUCUCUUUUAUAUUUUGAUGAUAGAAUUUUCAUAUGAAUAUAAUUCUAAGUCAAAAAUUGGUUUGGAACGCAAAGUUAAUUUAAAGAUGAUGUGUUUGUUGAUGAUAAAGAGACUUUUGAAAUUUUUGUUAUGGUUGAAAAUUAUAAUUUGCAUAUUUUGUUUGGGAUGAUUGAUGAAGAAGAAAUUUGUGAUGGAAAAAGAAGAAAAAGAAGUUUUUGAUGAGGCAAAUAAAGAAGAAAUUGUGGGUGCACAUGAAAAUAAAGAAUUUGUGACUCAAGAAAAAAUUUUACAAGUUAGUUGAGAAAGAAAGUGAAAUCAUUGGUCAAAGUAAAGAGGUGAUUAAAGAUCGUGACAAUGUAGAAAUUGUUAAUUUUGUUGAGAUUGAUAAAUUUUUUGAAGAGAAAAAUCAUGUGAUGGAAUUGGUUGAUAUCAAUUAUGAAGUGGAUGAUUUAGUUGAAAAUUGUGACACUAUCAAGGUUGAUGCAGUUGUCAAUGUGAAUCAAUCAACACAAAAAUAUGGUGAGGUUAAAAAUCUUGGUGAAAAAAAUUAUGAUUUUUUUGGUUUUGGGAGAUUUUAUUAGUGACAUGGAUGAAUUGAAUUAUGGAGUAUUAGAUGAAGAAUAGGUGGAUAUGUUUGAAUUUUUUGACAAGAGUGAUCAAUCGAAGAAAUUACUCAAGAAGUAUAAGAUUCAUCCACUACUACGUGUAAAAAUGAAAUUGAAAACCAAUCAUAAGUUGAGAUUGAAUGUUGUGUCUAUCGCAAUCGAGUUUUUCAUGGAGAGUCAAACUCGUGAUAGCAUUGGAGAUGACAAUGAAGAGUUUGGUUUAAGAGAGACAAUGAAAGAAAUUAAACCAAACUGUAUUUAGUUUUGCAAUCCAUUUAGUUAAUUGUUUUGGUGUGUUGUUUGUCUAGUUUUCAUAUUAAAUUAGGAAAUUUCAAAUCAGUUUUCAAGUAAGUUUUGGUUUACAAUUAUAUUUGUUUUAUGAAAUUUUAGAAUCUAUAAAUACUACCAGUCUAGUAGGUUAUUAAUUGAAGAGUUGACUUGAGUCUUGAAAGAUAGAUUUGAGAAAAAGUCUCAUAAUUGAGAUUUGUGAGUUGUUGUGGGCUAAAGGUUAUUGAUAUUUAUAAUUGAGACUUGAUAUUUGUUAUUGUUGAGUUUUGAAUUAAAUAAAUUAUUGAGUAUUUGUUCUCCUCCUUUUCCAAUAUAUUUUUAUAUGUGAUAAAAUUGCUUUCGCUAUGCACGUGAUUUUUGUGUGCCAACAUUUUUUAACUUCAUUAAAAUGUAUAUCCAAACAUAAUUUGUUAAUGAAGGAAAAGCAAGGAAAGAAAGUAGGAUCAAUGGUAAUUUUAUCUUACCCGUUUUGUUUUCAUGGGCAAAGAACAUGGCAAAAAGUUACAAAGUUUGAGAUGGAUUUAAACAUGGGAUAAUUUCAGAAACUUCUCCUCAGGUUUCUGAAAGGUUUUUGACUAUUUUCACUGAUCUCCCUCCAAAUUUUAAAAAUUACAUUAAUCUUCCUUGAGGUUUACUAUCUUAUAAUAGGGAUAAUUUCAGAAACCUCCCUUGAGGUUUCUAACAAUUUCACUGAGGUCCCUUAAAAUUUGAAAAAUUACACUUACCUCCCUUGAUUUGAUAGUUUUAGUAACAAAACCUUAAAAUAAUAUUGACUUGGUCAAAUUUUAAGUGAAUACCCAAAAAUGCCCUGUGUAAUGAGUUUUAAUUUACUUUUUCAUACAAUUAUAAGAUUAUCUUGUAUAAUUAUAAGGAAAAGAUACCAAAAUUUUCAUGUUCAUAACUUCUAUUUGAUAAACAACUAUAAUAAUAGUAAUAAUAAUAAUUUUAUCACUAUGAUAUGAUACUUUUGAUGGUAUUUUAUUAUGGAUUUAGAUUUAUAAGAUAGAAAAGAAAAUGAUUCAUUUAGAAUUUAUAAAUUUUUUGAGCAGUGAGAUUAUCAUAAUUUAGUACUGAUUUUGGGUUAUUUCUUUUUGAUGUGUUAUUAAUUUUAAUGCCAAAAAAUAGAAAACAAAGAUCAACAAAAACAUUGGAUUGCAUAGAAAGUUAACUGAUAAAAAAUUUACUAGUUUGACAUUUGGUUACAAUAGAAACUAGAAGUAAUAGUAGUGUUAAUUCUAUAGUUUUAUUGGAAAAAAUUUUUUAAAAAUGAAUAAGAAUGAAAGAAUGAAAAAAUAAUUUUUAAAAGUCAUUGUAAAUAUAAGCAUACCAAACAAGGGAAUUUCAUUAAAAUAUUUAAGGGUAGUAUUGUCAUUUUAAAUGACGAGUGAGGUAUGUAUAAUUUUUAAAACCUCGAGGAGCUAAAUGAAAUUGUAAAAAACCUCAACGGAGGUUUCUGAAAUUAUCCCCUUAGAAUAUUUAGGUCCAAUCAACAAUUAAAAAGUGAUAUUAGAACAGAGAAGAUAAUAUGAUUUCCCAUUAUCGCUCAUUUACUAAAUUGUUUGAUUAAUCUAAUAUUUGCCCAAAUACUAAAGAAAAUAUUAGAAUUUGUUGUUAUCAUCAGUAAUUAAAUCACAUAUAGUAUCAAAAAUAGUGCAUCAUUUUAUAUAUUUUACUUAUUGUAAGAUCUCAAUUGCACAUUUCAGUUAUAAAUCCAUUAUCAUACAUGAUUAACAACAAAUAAUGAAAAAAAAAAUUUGUAACCAAAAUAUUAUAAAGUGCAAGUUUUAAUACCAUAAAAAUAUCAGCAACUAACUUUAAUAUGUUGACAAGAAUAUUUAUGAUGUUAAAGUUUGUUCUCUAUAAUAUUUUAGUUGCAAAUUUUUUAUUAUUUAUUAUUGAUCAUAUUUAACAAUUGGUAUGUAAUUAAAAAGAGUAAUUUGGAUCUUAUAUUAAGUGAAAAAUAUAAAAUGAUAUACUAUUUUUUGAUGUUAUAUGUGAUUUGAUCCUUAAUGAUAAACAUCAAAUUUUAGUAUUUCUCUUUAAUGUGUGGGUUGGUAUUAAAUUAAUUAAAUGAUGUAGUAGAUGAGGGGCAAGAAUAGAAUCAUAUUAUUUUCGCUAUUUUAAUAUCACUUUUUAAUUAUUGAUUGGUGCUAAAUGUUACAAUAUAAUUAAUCUCAAUGAAUGUUAUUGUAAUUUUUGAAACUCAGAGGUUUCUGAAAUUAUUCCUAAAAACCUCGGGGAGGUUUCUGAAAUUAUCCCUAAAAACAAACAUUACAGAGGAAAUUACAAAUUGCACCAAACUUUGAGGGCCUCAAAGUACUUAACGCCAUUUCUGAAGUAAUCUGUCUUCUCUGCUCAUUAAUUUGCAGGUGUUCUCCGACUCCAUCGGUCUCUCUCUAAUACACGUCACUAACUAUUUUCAGCGAGAGGUUAAAAAUGGUAAUUAAUUGUAGUUAAAUUAAGCAAUCCAAAAUUAGAGCCGGAUUCUAUUUCUAUGGAAUGUUAGAUAGAAUAGGGAAAGAAUUGCCGUGCAAACUUGAGAGUGCCAUUUAUCACCUGAGGAUUAAAGGGUUCCACUGCAAACUAGAAAGUUAGUAAAAUUUUGAUCACCUGAAGAUUAAAAGAUCAUUGAUUUUAUUUCAAGAUUUUUUGACCCUUUUCAGUUUAUUCAUUUUUCUGAUCAGUUUUUACUUGUGUUUUGCAGCCCAGCUGAAUAUUGAAAGAUGUCCGUCAAUGCAGAUACAGAUUCACCAGGUAAUCUCUACUAAAUGCAAGAUUGAUUGUAUUCUUGAUUCAGUUUCUUUAGAACUUUUAACAGGGAAGUUAUAAACCAAGUGAAAUGGUAUAACUUGUACGUUUAAGGUAUUUUGUUAUCUUAAAAUGUACCGCAUUAGGCUUAAAUCUUGCUUCAGGUGACACAUGUAUCUAAUUUUAAUUGUCUACGGAACAUAGCUGUUAAGAGUUAAAGAUGCUAGAAGUAUUUCUUUUCCGUGCUAAAUAUGCUAGGAAGCCAGUUCAUGUUGUUCCGCAGACAAAAGUUUGAAAAGAGGAAAUGCUGUUUUUAAAGUUGAAACCAGACCUAAGUUUCGGAGGAGAUCUAAGAUGUCCAGGCCCAUAGCAGGAUAUAAGUGAUAAGCCUGCCUUUUAAGUAUGCAACAGAGGCCGUAUCUUAUAAUCUUACUGUAAUGAUGCUGACUUGAAUAAUUUGCAACAUAUCAGAAAGAAAUGAAGAAUAAUCUAAUUCCAGAAGCCUAGGUGCAGAGUUUCUUUUUUUUUUUUUUUGGGUUGUCUCAAAUGUGGUUAUAAUGCCUCAAGCUACAGUAAGAAGAUUUAGUGAUGCAGAUGUUACUGCUCUAGCUGUUUGGAAGUAUGUAACUAGCUUUUCUUGUCAGCUGUAUCAAGCUUUUGUCUGGAUUAGAUGUAUAGGAUUUCAGAGUGUUGCAUUGUUUUCCUUUUAUUUUCUGUGGGAAGAGAGACUUGGAGAAAAGUUUUAUAUCUAAGCCUGUAAUUAUUCUCCCUGCAGAAUAUUGAAACAUCAGACUGGCAAUUUUAAACAUCAGAUGAAGGGUGCAGCUACUACAUUCCGUAAUGAACAUGAUCCAUUUGAUUUUAUAAGAUUUUUAUAUGGUAGGUUUAUGCUUUCUAUGUUAUUCUUGAAUAUCAUUGUUGGGUCAAAAGAAAUGUUAACAUAGCAUGGUUAACAUAAGUUUUGUACCGAUGAGCUUUACAUCUACAGACAAAAAUUGCUAGACCUUGUGCAUUAUGUUGCAAAGACAUAUUACUACAAAAUCUGUUGCUAUUUUCAUUUAUUAAUAGCAAGUAGCUACAUGCUUUGUAUGUCCAUAUAGUUUUUCAAUUCUUUAAUUUUGUGGAUUGGAAUUCUUUUCUUUAGUUUUGGGAAGCAAGUUUUCGGUGGGAAUAUAAAGGACAACUCAACAAUGGAAAGCUUGAAAUGAGAUUUGACAAUAAUAUUAUAUAGCAUAAAAGUGGCUUUUAAUUGGUCUGGAUUAUGAUUUUUGUGGGUUUAUCAGCCCUAUCUGUCUCCAUGUAACCAGAUAAUUGUCUAAUGGAUGGUGUAAGUCCUUUUUUUUGGGGGGGGUAAAAUAGUGCAUGCAUUAGUCUCACAAUCCAAGCCGCAGGGAAUGGUUGUUUUAGAUUACAUAUACUGAAAUGUCUUGUAUAUUGGUUUGUGAACAACAAAACGACCUCUAAACAAAAGUAUGUUGAAGUGAGUGCAUGAAAUUUGAAAGUAGUGUAGUCUGACUGAAGCUUAUAGAUGAGAUGGCUGUGUGGAAAUGUCUAAAAUUGGGGUUCUUGCUUUGAAUAAUUGAAUUACUACCACAUGUUUUAACUUUAGGUCGAUGCUAAAGCAUUAACAAAGUUCAGGAACUUGACAAAUGAACUUUUAGUUCUGCUUGCAUUGCUUGGCAUCAUACUAAAAUAUUGGUAACUGACAGUCCUAUCAUAUAGCACUACAAUUUAUCUGUAUAAAUGACUGGCAUGUUCUAGAUAGAAAUGUGUUACCCUUUCAUUGGAAAAGUUGUUUUAUAUAUAUUGGUAGUUUUGUCCAAUCUACAACCCUUUGCAGUAUUCCAUUGUAUGGUUUUGCAGAGGGUGCUGUAGCUGGAGCCACAGCUGGUGUUGUCGUUGAAUCUGUUCUGUACCCAAUUGACACCAUCAAAACAAGACUUCAAGCAGGUUUAUUUUGUUAACACAUUUUGUUGUAGUCUUGUAGAUUAAAAAGUAGCUGAUUAAAAAGAUCAGAUGACAGUUCCACCUGUUGUUUGGUGAAGCUUUACAUUGACGUAUUUCUUCUUGUGAACUGAGGUGAUCUGUUUUGCUUUUCAUUGUUUUAUGGUAGGCAGUUCAUGGUGGAGGAAAGAUCAUAUUAAGGGGUCUUUACUCCGGAUUGGCUGGAAAUCUUGUUGGGGUCUUACCGUAAGUACUUAUAACUGCAACUGCUGUUUUUCUUGUGCUCUACGAGAAACAGAUAGAUGAUAAUGUCAUACAAUGCAGUCUAAAGUUGAUUUGAGCAACCUUGAUUAUGUAGAUUGGGUAUAGAGGCUGCAAUUAUAUUGAAGAUAACUUCUUCCUGUAGAUAUGGCCAUAAUUUGAUUUACUAGUUUUCUAUGUGUUCUGGGAGAAGUGAUGGGACAUUUAUAUUCUUUUCCUAAGAGAUAUAUUAUGACCUACACCUAUUGUAGCUGGAGAGAGACAAAGAGCCCAAACCAGUGGCAGCAUGUUCUUAAUCAGAGAGUCUUCAACUUGGCCUUUAAACAAGAAAAACUUCUUUGUUGUGAUCCAUUAAAUAGUUGUCUUAAUUGACUGGAUCACUUCAAGAAUUGGCGCCACUUAGAAAUUAGAUAGUCAUGGCUUUAUGCACAGCAGGACAUUAAGGGCGCAUCUUAAGUGUUUCUUGUGGUACUUCUACAUGAGCUUCUCCGGGAAUGUAUUUUUGAAUACAAUUGCUUAUCAUGAGACUAAGUCAGAUAAUAGGAAACCCAUUUGCAGAGUGAUGUAGAUGGUUUCUUCUGGAAUCUCUUGAGUCUUUUUAAGAUAACAAGAAGCUUAUACAUAAGGGAAACUAGUGAAGCUUGUAAGGUUAAUGGGUAAGCUUAAGGUAUCAUGCGGCUGGAUGUGUUUAUGUGUAAUCAUUUAAGCAGUCUGCCUCUUUGAAUACUGUGAAGCUCUUAUGACAUGCAUUAAAAACUGUUCACCUGGUUUGGUAUGAUAAGACAUACUAAAUUUUGAAAAUAAUGUAUGUGCUUCGUUACUCUCCAUGAUUUACAUGUUUGGAGGAAGCAAAAUUAAUAUGUUAUUUUUGUUGUCUUUAAUUUUUGAGUCUGUGUUUUCUCCUUCUUUAGCUGCCUUUGCAAGUAAUAUGUGACCACAGAGGCAUGAGAAAGUGGUAAAUCGAGCCACAGGUUCCUUGGAAGGAGUCUAGAAGGAAGAAAUAUAUAAAGUGGUUCUUAAUGAUAAUUAAGAAACAUUGCCUAUGGUAGUCUGAAAAUGGUUAACUGUGGUGCUUUCUGUUUAAUAUAGCCAAAUUGAAUUCUUGAAUCCUGACAUGGGAAUCACUAACAUUAGUUGCACAAAAAAUUUAAUAACUUGUUUAUCUAUUUAUGGUGGCAUUAUCUGCAUCUGCAAGGAACCUGCAUAAUUUCUGAUACCUGUGUUGUACUUUUACUUCUUGCAUGAAGAAAUUUGUUGAAGCUUUUUGGAGUUAUAGUCUUUAUGGGAAUAACUUUAACUGCUUUUCAUUGUUCUUAGCGAGAGUGCAGGACAAGUCUUGACAAAUUUUCUAACAUUUUGCAGGGCAUCGCAAUAUUUGUUGGUGUAUAUGAACCCACAAAGCAAAUGCUUUUGAAGAGCUUCCCUGAAAGUCUCAGCGCCUUGGCUUAUUUGGUUAGUUUUGAAACUAUACAAUAUAAAAGUGCCAUCUCUUUAAUGGCGUAUUACAGUUGCUGCUUCUUUCUAAAUUGAUUUAACUGCAAAUUGUUACAUUGAUACAACAAUGAAGAAAUUAAGGAGUUAUCUUCCAGUAGCAGAUUCUACUCUUUGAUUUAAAUGCCUCCUGUAGUUCCUAUUGGGAUGGCUAAUUUGUAAUUCGAACUAAUCAUCUUCAAGAUCAUAAUUAACUCCUGUCUCUUUACUUUUCUGCUAACUCCAUUUUUUUUUCCUGAUCCAGGAAAUCUAAUUAUAUCUGCUCAAACUUUUUCAUUAUUGUUUAAAUACCUUUUCAUUUGGGGCAAAACUAAGUGUAGAUAGCUGAUAGGAGUUGUCUAAUAGCUUUAAUUGUAUUUCUAUAGUGAUGAAAUGAGCUAAAUCAAAACUUUCCUAUGUCUUAUUGACUGAGACAAAAAAGAAAUAAUUGUCUUCCAUGUUUUAAUUUGCAAUGUUUAAAGAUUUUGAAUGCUUUUUCAGACAGCAGGUGCUGUGGGUGGGGUGGCAUCUUCUAUUGUUCGUGUUCCAACUGAGGUAUUCAAAGUUGGUUAUUCUGUUUUAUUUAUGGGUGUUGUAUGAAAUCCUUAUCUUUUAUAACUACUUAGGUUGUUAAGCAAAGGAUGCAGACUGGACAAUUUUCAUCUGCCCCCAAUGCUGUGCACUGUAUUGUAGCAAAGGAGGGCUUUAGAGGCCUCUAUGCUGUACGCCAUGCUCUUAUCUUUCAGGGUCUAAAUCUUUGUUUAAGGUGCUAUAGGUUUUCCAUCUUUUGAAAGUCUUUUACUGCACGUUUGCCUUCACCUUUAUCUUUACUAUUGCAGGGAUUUGGAUCCUUUCUGUUGCGAGACUUGCCUUUUGAUGCUGUACAGUUCUGUAUCUAUGAGCAGCUUAGAAUAGGUUAUAAAUUAGCGGUAAGAGAUCCAAAUAAUUAUUCUUUCAUUUACUAAAGAGGCCUAAUAUUUUCCCGUGGAAAUGAGAUUUUAUUUCCUACUUUGAUGUAGCAGGCUUAGAAGCAUCUCACAAAGUUAUAAAAUAGCCAAACUAGUCAACCUCUAACAAGAUAAACUGAGCACAUUCCCAUAUCUUUUGAAAAAAUGAACACUAUUGUUGUUCAACUGUGCCACCUGAUAUUUCCAUCUUCUUUUUUUGGUAAUUGGUUGAUCUCUGGAAAGAUGGCUUGUGUAGUGUCACUUGAGUAGAAAUCUAUGGCUUAUUUUGAUAAUGGAUCAUUAACAAGGACUAAAUUUGUCAUGACCAUAUAAAAGAUUUAUUGCCUUUGUUCUACAGCUUCUCAGCAUCCACUCUACUUUUGAAGUAUGGUUAUUUAUUGUUUUGCUAACUUUUUUGCAGGCUAGAAGGGAUCUGAAUGAUCCUGAAACUGCAAUGAUUGGUGCUUUUGCUGGUAACUACAAUCUUGUAGGAUUUUGUUUUUGAAAUGCAUAAGGGUUUCAUCAAUUAAUAUUUUCUAGUCUUCUGCAACGCUCAAUAGUGGUCAGGUUGUGAAAUUUUCCUGAUUAGUAUGGUUACAUAUAUUAGCUGUAGAGUUUGACUUUGUUAUGUUUGUCACCGGUUGCUUUUCCGUUUAAUCAAUGCUUAAGAAAUUGUAAGAUACUGCAAAAGCAAGGUUUGAAUGCUUAUGAAUGCUUAAGAGAGUUGACAAGACAAUGCGAAAUGAGAGGUCAAUGCUGUUCUAUCCCUUCCACAUUGACAAGACGGUGAAUUGACUUUCUUGGAAAAGGUAUUGUAAUGCUCAAACAUAGCAACUGGAAUGCACCUGCUAGUUGUCUCGUACCCGAAGCUGACUUAACAUGGUAAAUGUCGUUGAAGUUACCUUGAGAUUUGUCCUAAAACAAAACUAUUCUGUCUAAGUAAGAUGACUACAACUUCUACAUCUAUGAGUAUUAGUCUCUUCAUAUUACCAGUAAGGGACUGAAUUUCAUGUUUAUACCUUCCUGAAAAAUUAAAUAAAAAUUUAGGAAUUAUUCUGACAACUGCCCUUGGAUUUAAACACUGUCCGCAACACAACAUUAAAGACUGAGUCAGACAGCAGAAAUAAUGUGACAUAUUCAAAUUGAAAUGGUUUGUACACCAGUGAAGUACAAACCACAAUUAAUUCUUUUGUAGUAAAUGGCAAGUUGAUGCACCUGCUCCUGUCUUAGAUCUAUCAUGUCUUUGCUUGCACUUUUUAAACAUCUCCUGAUUAACCUUUCUAAUGAAAAUGAAUUCAUUAAUAAUAGACAAUACCAUGAUCAAUUUUUUUUUUCCCGAUACGAAUUCCAUGGUCACUAUAUUAUUGUUUGUGGUUGUGAUUCCUACUUCUACUCAGAGUGCUUUGAUUCCAAGCUCCUGUUAAUGUGGUGGUCUCCAUUGCUUUUCACAACUUCAAUCCCUGCUUCCUGGUCUCCUUUUUUUUUUUUAUAAUCCACUCCAUGUAUGUCCAUAGGUUCAUCUUUAUGAAAGCAGAUGCACUCCAUUUCACUAGCAGAACUGUCUAAUUGCCUUUUCUGCAACUCUAGUUCUAGAACGGUGGGUGCAUCAUCAGAGGCAUGUGGUUACAUAGUUGAAAUACAAGAGACGUUCAUAAGAACCCUUGAGAACUUUCCCCAUUAACCUUUUUAGCAUAACGCUUAUUAUACUUUUACCAAAAUAAAAAGCUCAAGGAUCCUUUUGUUAAUCUAGUUGCUGAUGCUGCAAUACUGCACAGGAAAUCUUGCCUAAUUUGCACACCAUGCUGAUCCAGGUAUUAUGCAGUCUGCAUCUGACUGCAAAAUUGUGAUCCUUUGGGUGACUAGCAGUGAAUUCAUUUUAGUCAUCUUACUAAUACCUUUCUCAAUGUAUUUGAAUUUGUGAAUUCUACUCUUGUGGCUCACUCAAUAUUAAAGAAUGAUUAACCAUGGUUCCACCUCUUCCGCAUGCAUAUCAGUGAAACUGAACAUCCAAUCUUAUAUGGGAAUCUCUUGGAUUUCUUUCUUGUUAAUCAACAGGUGCAAUAACUGGAGCUAUAACAACUCCAUUGGAUGUCAUAAAGACUAGGUUGAUGGUUCAGGUGUGCUUUAAUGAUUGAUGCUUAUGCGUUAAUCCUUCAUUCUUUCUUAAAUACAUACACAUGCUUGACCUUCAGUUGUUUACCAUUUUGUUAAUUCUUCAGGGAUCUGAAAAGCAGUAUGAAGGCAUCCUCCACUGUGUUGGUACUAUUGUCAGAGAAGAAGGCACCUCCACUCUUUUUAAGGUGUGUCUAUAUGUUACACAUAAUAUACCCUCUAUCCUUGAUUCACAAAGACUUUAGAUAUUGUUAGCCAAUUUUAUGUCUUUUACGUUUUCAGGAUUUCUAUUGAUAACUCAAAAGGAUAUAUUGAUACUUUUUUGAACUGUUAUUAUACCUGAUUAGUUUAAUAUGUUGAUAGCCAUAGAGGAAAUACCAUUUUCUUUCUUCUUCUCCUUCCAGUUAUCUAAAUUGAAUUCAUUUCGAACUCAAAUGAAACCUUGUUCCUUACCAUUUGAGUCAUGGAAUGAAUCCGCUUCUCUAAUUUUCAAUCACUUGGAACUAAAGAUGAUGUACUAAUGGAAAUUUAUUGGACUUGUUAGUUAUAGUCACCACUAUUUUGUAGGAAAGUGGAUGAUUCUGGUCUCAUCAGCUUAAAUGACGUGAGACCAUUGUUUUGACUGUUAUCUUGCAGGGCAUAGGGCCGCGGGUGCUGUGGAUAGGGAUAGGCGGUUCAAUAUUCUUUGGUGUUCUUGAGAGGACGAAAAAGCUGCUCUCUAACAGUGGCCCAAUUCACCCCAGUCCAGAUUCUUUGAAGCAGGACUAACAUAAUACUAUCAGGUUUAAUUAGUUCAUGAAAUUUACUUCCAAAAUGAGAUUCGUGGCAUCAUGUAAUAGAUUUGUAGGAAUUUGGUGAAUUUGGUGGAUUUUAGUGCAAUAUGAGUUCUGCCUCCUUUGGACCAUGUUUCUAUCAAGUAGCAGAGAACUGAGGGCCUUGUGUCUCUUUAUGGAAAUUUUACAUAAUUUUAUGAACUCGAUGUAUAUUAAGGGAGUACAGAGAACAUUAGUUGAAUCUUUUAGAUAGAGUAUUAUUUGAAAUAAUAUUUUUUGUUAUUGAUACGAUAGAUUAUCCUACACUAAGGGGGCGGAGAAGGAUCUAAAGAGAUCUAAAGGUAAUCCGGAGAGGAUUGAACUACCACCGGAUCAGCGCAUCCGUCUGGAUUUUUUAAGCAGAGUCACUUUUUAAAUGUGGCAAAUUGGUUGCCUCCCAUCCCACCAAGCUUUAAUGCAUUGGUGGUGGUCACCGAUCCAAAGACUGGUGGUUGUAUUAUUUGAAAUAAUUAUUGUAGCACUUUUUGUGAUGUGAUAUAUAUGAGAUAAACAAAAAUGAUUGAAAAUAUAAAAAGAUAGAUUGAAAAAUACGUGUAUAAUAUAAGUGAAAUAUUAUUUGAAAAAAUGUAAUUAUCCAAACAAUACUUCAGGAAAAAAAGGUGUUUGGAUAGGAGAUUAUUUGGGAUAAUUUUUUUUAAGAAAAAUACUGUAGUGUUUUUUUGAUUUGAUGUAUGUAAGAUAAAAAAAUUGAUUGAAAAAUAUAUUGAUAAUACAAGUAGGUUAGUGUGUGUAAAUAAUGUGAAAAUAAGGUGCAAUCCAAAUGCACCAUGGAAGUGUGCAGAGGGAGAGAGAUAUAAGAUUUAAAGAGGAGGAAAACAUUGGCAGCGUACGAAGAGGCCGAGAAUAUAAUGAGUAUCAUCCACGUCCCAGCCAACACAAGAAAGGUUUUGACCAAUAAUUUUAUGAUUUAUUCGUUUUACGAAUUAUAUAAACCUAGACACUCAAUUAGUGAUUCUAAUAGAACUAUGCCGAGAUGCUUGGUCGCCAUUAAGGUCUUCCAUUCAUAGAUUAGUAUAUUCUAACGAGUUGUGAGUACUGAUAUACGUCACAUGUUACUAGAUGAGGAUAUAUGAAACUUCUAUAAUUGUUAUUUUUAUCAAAAUUGCACUGCGAACCUUAGAGUUUUUCGUUCGAAAAAUUAGAGCAUAAGAGUUGUUGUUAUUUAGUGAGUUAAUCGAGUAAGGCCACAAGAUCGAUCAAAAGUAUUCAAUUAGUGCAAAUUAGGCCAUAAAUAUGGUCCUAAUUUGUCAAAUUGAUUGUGUUGAAAACGAGAUCAAAAAAGGAUUAGAGAGAACUGUUGGUCGCUGCAAGUUAUCAAGUUGAAGGAUUUGAUUUGUUUAGCAGUCAUAGACCGGAAAUUUGACAAAGGGAGAGAGGAACAACUGAUGGAGGUAAUUAAAAUUUUCCAGCAAUGAUAAUGGUGCAAAAAGAAUUUACUAAUGGUAAAAAGUUCAAAAUUUUGCACACAUUUAGCGGUGGCGAUGAAAUAUUCAAAUGAUCGAGAAUAACGAAAACAUAUCUCAAAAAGUGUGGUUUAAGUGAUGUUUUUGGAUUAAGUUUUAAAAUCGUUUGCCCAAAGAAGUUUGGAAAAGGAAGUUAAGGUUAUUUUUUAAAAUUAUGUGAAAAUCAAUAAUUGAAGAGCUUUACAAAAGACUUUUGCUCUGUUUGGAUUAACUGUAUUUGGAGGUGUUUUUAAAAAAUUUUAUUAUAGCAGAGUUUUUAUAGUAUAUGUUGAGAUAUUUUUAGAAUAUAUUUUGGGAUAUUUAAGAGUAACAGAGUUUUUAGAAUAUUUUUUAAACAUUAAAAAAAAUUGGACUACUUUUUAAAGUACAUUUUAGAGUACUUUGUAAAAAAUUUUAUAGGAUUUGAAAAAUUGAUGAAUCCAAACAAAGCAAAAUUGUCAUUUAUAUAAUGAUGGAAUUUUCACAUGAGUAUGCUUACAAGUCAAAAAUUGGUUUAGAGUGGAAGUUGGCAGGGAGAGAAGAAAAAACAUUUGUAUUAGUCUUUUUUGUCCUUGUUUUUCUUUCACAAUCACAAAUUCUUCAUAAUGUAGAUCAAAAUUGUCAUUCUUAUCAAUAUCUUCGUAAAUGACUUCAUCAUCGAUAUACAUGUCUGCAUUGAGAUUAAUUUUCGAAUUUUAAAACCAAUUUUAGACCUGUAACCAGGCCUAUACGGAAAUUCCAUCGUGAUAUAAAUGACAUUUGAUCUGAAAAUUUGAGGUGCUCGAGAUCAAGAAAAAGUAUUUUGUAAAGCUCUUCAAUUAUUGGUUAUCGCAUGAUUUUGAAAAAUAAUUUUGCCCUCCUUUUCCAAACUUCUUUGGACAAACAAUUGUUGAAAUUUAUUUCAAGAAUAUCACCUAAACCACACUUGUUUAGAUAUCUUUUCAGUAUUCUUGACCAUUUGAAUUUUUCACCACCACUAGAGGUCGUGGAAAAUUAGUGACUUUUAGAGUGGGAAAAAUCCACUUUUCCUCCGUAAACUUUGAAUUAGGAACACAUUUCAUCCCCAAACUUUUAGAAGCAGCACAUUUAAUACAUGAAUUAACAAAUUCUGACCACAUUUAGUCCAAAAAUAGUAAAUUGUUCAAUUUGGACGAAGAAGGCUAGCAUGUCUAGCACACGGCCAUUAAGUAAAAACAAUUUUUUAGUCAAAAUCAACGAUCAUGUGCCAAACAUGUGAUCUUUUUUAUCCAAAUUGAACAAUUUAUCGUUUUGGACUAAAUGUGACCAGAAAUUAUUAAUUUAUAUACUAAAUAUGUUGUACCUAAAAGUUUGUAGAUGAAAUGUGUCUCUAGUCAAAGUUUAGGAAUGAAAAAUGGAUUUUUUCCCUUUUAGAGUGGAAGGCAAUGUGGCAAUAAUUCGUAACAUAAGGAUGUAAAAUGUCAAAGAUGACAAGUGUGAAUGUAGAGAAGGCCUUAAAGUGGAAAGUGAAAUUUGUCUAAAAUCUUGUAGUAAUUGACAAUUGUAACAUUUAUAUUCCCAUUUCUUUUACUUUAUUUUGCUCAACCUAGAUACUUUCCACCGGUCUGGCUCCUGUGGAGGAGGAGAAUCUCCAAUACCCACAAAAACCCAAAUUUUGACCAAUCAAGACUAUCCAUCUCAGCUACAUUUACACUCAUAUCUCCACCUUAUCCACUCUCUACCACUAGUCUCCUUGCUCCAAAAUCUAAAAACCAUCCCUCUCCACACGCCUUCUUCUCAAUCUCCUAUACUCUCAUUCCUACCAUACUCUUCUUCUCUUGCAAAUCUUAUUUUCAUCCCACAAAAACUUAACAAAAAAUCCAGCAAAAUGUCUCUCACAAUUCCCACAAAUCUUUCUACAGCCAUUGCUACACCAAAGCUGAAUUCCCAGUUCAGCACAAAGCCCAGAGCUGCAACAAUUGUAUGCUCUGCUAAUUCUCCCAACCAAAGCACAUCAACCUCAGAGCAACCUUCACCACCAUCACUCAAGGCAUUUUCUGCAGCUCUUGCACUUUCUUCCAUUCUUUUAUCGGCCCCGGUGAUGCCCGCCUCGGCCGACAUCGCUGGCCUCACACCAUGCAAGGAGUCCAAGCAAUUUGCCAAGCGCGAGAAGCAAGAAAUCAAGAAACUUGAGUCAUCCCUGAAGCUUUAUGCCCCUGAUAGUGCUCCUGCUCUUGCUAUUAAGGCCACUAUCGAGAAGACCAAGCGCAGGUUAGUAUUGCCUGCAAUUUUUUUUCAUUUCUUUUCACCCGUGAGCAGACCUGCAGGAAGAGUUGAAAACUGUGUUCUGAAAUGUUGAUUGGGUUUGCAGGUUUGAUAAUUAUGGAAAGCAAGGGCUGUUGUGCGGAUCGGAUGGAUUGCCUCACUUGAUUGUGAGUGGAGACCAAAGACACUGGGUGAAUUUAUCACCCCAGGGAUUUUGUUCCUGUACAUUGCUGGAUGGAUUGGGUGGGUAGGCAGGAGCUACUUGAUUGCCAUCAGGGAUGAAAAGAAACCAACAGAGAAGGAGAUCAUCAUUGAUGUCCCCUUGGCCUCGAGACUCGUGUGGAGAGGAUUCAUCUGGCCCGUCGCCGCCUACAGAGCGUUCGUGACUGGAGAUCUCAUUGACCCUACUGUCUAAAUCCAUUAUCAGGUUAUUAAUCUACCCUUUUCUUUUAACCAUUUUUACUAUAAAAGACAGAAAUUACUCAGCCCUUUGUGGAAAUUUGACUAGCGGUAUCAACAAGAAGUUUGAAAUCACAAUGUUUCAACCAUGAACAAGUUCACAGGAUCUUGAUGAUGUUGGUUGCUAAGCUUGCUACUAGAAAUGAGUUUCUUAGUUAUCAAUCCUUCUGUAAGAAUAACUAAGCUUACUACUAGAAAUGCAAUGCAAAAAAUGUCACUCAUUUUUGUGGUUAUGACUUUUAUCAAGUGCGUUAUUUGGCUGUUCUUGUAUAGUUUAGGCACAGACAUGGAACCCCAGCGACCGAAGAUGAAGUGAAAGGCUUGAAUUUUGGAUCUUGCUCGGGAAAAAAAAACAGAUGAUGGAAAAAUUCUUGUAUCUGGAAGUUGUAAACUCAAAUGUAUCUAUUCGUUUCUUUGGAGUGACACCAACCAAUAGAAGAUGCUUAAUUUUCUUUUGGGUGAUCAAUCAAUUCUGAGUAAUGCAUGUCCAGUAUUUCAUUUUUUUCACUUUUUUGUUUCAUUUUGUUUCCCUUUUAACUCCUUUUCCCUGAUUGUGAUGUGAUGAUGAAGACAUCAGAGACUAAUGGGGGGAAAUUUAUGUCGGAUUCUCAACUAAACUGAAGCAAUUAACCAACAGAUAUCUAGAAAUUGUACAUAGAAGAAGAACAUAUUCUAUAAUGCAAGAUAUACAUGCCAGUAAAAUGGAUCAGUAGUAUUCAUUGCUGUACAUAUAAGGCAUAUGGGAUUCACUGGGAUGAAUAUAAGCCAUCCCUUCAGCAACAUCAUCAGCAAAAUUUCCCAUCAAUUUAGACAGUGAACUGAAUCUUUAGACACUCGCAGCAGCACUAACCAGCAUAACUUUGAAUGUUUUCCUCCUCUAUAUGUGUGUUUGUCAUGUGUCAGAUGGUGGGAAAAAAAAUAAUGUCAGAAGAUACUAUCCACUUCUUCCUCUAAUAACUCCACUUCUGAAAUUAACUCAUCAGCCAAUUGAAAGCAAUCUGCUAUAGACAAGAUGCAACUAAAAACAUGUAUUUUUUUAAAAAUAUAUAUUUCUAUUGCAAAUCUUCCUAUCCAAACAAACUCAUAUAUCUCUUCAAAAGAUAAAUGCAUUUAAUUACCGUUUGGAUUGGUCAUUUUUUCAAAAACAAGUUUUUCAAAUACAAUGCUACAGUAAUACACAAUAACUCAAAAAAACAUCUCAUCUAUAUAAUAUAUCAAAUAUUUCAAAAAAAUUUAUAGUAAAAAUUUUUCAUAUACAUUGUUACAGUAAAAUUUUUCAAAAACACUUUAAAAAACAGAUAAUCCAAACGGAAACACCUUGACCUAGGUCUCUAAGGGCCAGUACAUCAAUCGCUAACAUGUCCGGCUCUAAUUUAUUUUGGUCCUUGCAACGCUCGUACAAGUUAAAGGUUGUUUGUGCAACUUUUUAGACUUAUUUGUGCAAGUUUAAGAUACUUUGUGCAAUGCUAGUGGUGGCAAAUAAUUGAUUGAAAAGUUAACCAGACACUACUAGAAAUUGUAUAAAAUUUGAAAAAUUAAUUGCUAUGUCAUUAUACUCAGGAAAAACAGGGCAACACAAAUUAAGGAAUCAUAAUAAAACUAACAGAAAAUCAUAUGUAUGAAUAUAUUCAUAAGAGAGAACAAAUGCUCUUGCAGAUUUUGGUCAAUCUUUACCAGAUAAACUCUUGCAGUUUAGGUAGGAUCAAGACUCAGCAUUGUUUAAACUAUCAUCUUCAAUAUCACAAAUAGGAAGGUCAUCCAAUUUGUUGAGUUCACUUUUAACCUAAUACCAUAAUGAUUGUCCACAAUUUGUUAACAAUACAAAUUUUUAGAAUCAACCAUUAUUCCUCCUGCAAAUUAAACUGGACAAACUGUCCCUUUGGCAAAAUCAUUAUUGCCUUCAAAGUCCAGACUUUGCAAGAUGUUUUAGAUUUCAUUGCAAAAUAGACCUCUUAAUUAAAAAAAAAAAAAUUCUUCCUUGAUCCCAUCAUCCAAAUCAAGGGAUAAACAUUUUGGGUUUCUCUCAAAGUUUAUCAGCAGAUGACAAAUUAGCCAAGAAAACUGCCUAAUAAAUACCUAAAAUAUGAAAAAUGGGUGCUAACAUGGUAGCAAAUGAACGGCCAAAAUUUCACUAGGAAAGUCCUUCAAUUUUGUUUUCUUUCAUCCAAAAUUCUCUGCCUUACGUUUCUUGUCACAAAAGUUGCACAUACUCACAACCACAUAUAACAAGAAAAAGUUAGUAAGUAAGGUUGCUCAUUUACCAAAAAAGAAUAAAUAAAUAAGGUUGCUUGGCAAAUUAUCCUUCCUCCUCAUCAAUUUUCUUCCAAUACCACUUUCACUAGCCCUUCGUUAUCUUAAAAAAUACAUAGACAAUGCCUAAUCUUUAAACGUGAGAUGUAUAUUGUUGAAUUUGCAAAUAAAAAUUUAGUCUAGUGAUGUGCAUAAGUAUGCUUGUCCUUUUCGAUCCUUUUCUUUAGAAACAAAAUAAGUAUUUUAGACAAAGUCUACGGCAAUUUCUUUUUCUUUCUUUUUUUAAGCCAUAAAGAGUAGAGAUUCAAGAAAUGAGAAAGAAAAAAAAACCUAUAAUAAGUUUAACAACAAAAAAAAAAGGAAAGUAACAAAAACAUACGCCAUCAUUUAAUUAAAUUAUGAUCUGUUUUCCCUCCACCAUCACCCCCUUCUUGCACACCACCUUUUCCUCCCUCCUCCUACCUUUUCGCCAGUGCCCUCUACCAUGCUUCACCCCUUUUUCCUCCUACAUUUCCCUUUUAAGUUCUAUCUUCCCACCUUGCAAUACGCCUCCCACCUCCUCUCCCCCUUCUUAAUGGAUGUAAGGGGAUCGAGUGAGAAGUGGGGAGAAAGAGUAGGAAAGAAGUGGGCGGAAUGCCAGGGAAAGGCAUUCAAUUUAUUUAGAUUGAAGAUUUUGUGCAUAAAAAAAUCAUUUACAAUAAUGCUUUUGUAAUAUAUUGUAUCUGAAGAAAAACAAUUUAAAAUAAUAAAAUGGUGAUGUAAUAAUAAUUUAGAAAAUCUCCAAAAAAAAAUUUCCGAAAAGGUUUUUGUCCAGACAUUAUUGUAUUAUGCUAUAGAAUGAACUGUAGAAUUCAUAAUGUACUUAAUUUUUGAAUUUUUAAAGUGAAAUCUCAACAAUGUAUGUAUUUUUUUUAUUACUAACUCCACAUGCUAAGAUUUAGUAAUUUUAUUUUGAAAGAUAAAUUAAAAGAUUUGUAAGUGUACUUAUUAAUGCAUUUAAAUUAUAUAUAACUUAUCAUGUUAUUACAUGUAUUCAAAUCUACCAUACUUUUUUUAUAAGAGAAUUAAUAAUAGUUCCCUAUUUAUUUCCUUUGAUUACUCGAACUGAUGUAAAAUGUUUUACAAUUGGUUACGUUUUCUUGUCAAUUAAUAAAAACAAAAAAAAAUUAUUGCACCCUUACAUCUGUGUUUGGAUUGUAAUUUUUCAAAAAAAAUAUUAUAUUUUGCGUAGAUACAUUUUUUAAUUAUUUUUUUAUUUCACGUAUUUUAAAUUAUUAUAAUAAAUUUUUUAAUAAAAAAUUCAAAAAAAUGCAAUUCAUACAAACCAAUCACCAAUGCCUCCUUGGCCAAAUCCAACACAGUCAACUUUACGAUGUCAAAUCAGAUGAAUUAUUACUACUAUAGUUAGUAUUUUAAGUCCUAAUUUUAACAUCUAAAAAAAUAGGUCCUAAUUUUAAAAUACUCCAAAUUACAACAGUCAAAUCAAAUCUUGUCCCAUUCAAAAUCUGCUAUCGUCAUGUCACUUCACUUCCAGUGAAUUAACAUCAAGGCCACAAGGAAUUCCCGCCAAUGCCCAUGGAUUAACAUCGGAUUUCAAACCCAAUAUCUAGCCAAAAUGCAUGUUUCACGCAGAAUCCGCAAGGCAUCAUACACAAAAUGCCGCCUUGUUUGGAUCAUGGGUCUUGGCGGAAAAAUUGUUACGUGUUUUUGUAAAUAAAAUUUUAAGUAUUUUUUAAUUUAUGUAUAUAAAUUAAUUAUAUAAUAUAUUUUUAAUAAAAUUUCUAAAAGUAUCAAUUCGAAGAAUAGGCUUAUUGUUUUUUAAGGAAAUUUAUUUUACGUUUUUUGUGAGUAUAUUCUUGUUUGAAUUGUACUUUUUCUUAUAAAAAAUUUCUAUAUUUUUCAUAAACAUAUUUUUUAAUCACUUUUUUACAUUGUAUAGAUCAAAUUAUUAUAAUACAUUUUCUAUAAAAAUUUUUAAAACUAACAAUUCAAAUAGGCUUGUAAUUUAGAUUAUUAUUUUAAUUAUUUUAAAAUUGUUUAUAAAUAUAUUUUAAAAUCCACUUUUUUAAUUGAUGCAGUUUUAUAAAAACUCCAAAAAUAGAUACAAAAAAUAUAUUAAUAUUACAUAUUUAUAUAUAAAUAUUAUAUACAAAAAAUAUAUUUGUUUAAUAAAUAUAUAAAUGAAUACAUAAAUAUUAAUUCAAAAAUUAAUAUACAAAAUAUUUAUAUAUAAUAUAUAUAUAAAAAAUUUAUUUUGUUUAAUAAAUAUAUAUUUAUAUAAAUAAAUAUUAAUACAAAAUAUAAAUAUAUAUAAUUAAAUAUAUUUAUUUUUAUUUAUGUAAUUAUAUAAUUAUAUUUAAUUAUAUAUAUUUAUAUAAAUAAUAUAUUUAUAUAUAUUUAUAUAUAUUUAUUUCAAUUUUUUUUAUUAUAUGUAAAUUAAUAUAUAUAUUAUGUAUAUUUUGAUAUUUAUAUUUCAAUUAUGAAUAUAAGAUAUAUAUAAAUUAUAGUAAUAUUAAUAUAUUUCAAUUAUGUAUAUUAAUAUGUAUAAUAUAUAUAUUAUAUCAAUUGAAAUAAAUAUUAUACUUUUAUAUAUUAAUAUAAAUAUUUUGUUUUAAAAUAUAUUUAUAUAUAUAUUUAAAUAUAAAUAUAUAUCUAUAUAUAUUUAUAUAACUAUAUAAAUAUAUUUAUUUAUAUAUUUAUAUAAAUGUGUAAAUAUAUUUAUUUCAACUUUGUUUUAUAAUAUGUAUAUUAAUAUAUAUUAAUAUGUAUAUUUCAAUUUGUAUAUUUCAAUUAUGUAUAUUUUAUUACAUAUAUAAAUUAUAUUAAUAUUAAUAUGUAAUUUAAAUUAUGCAUAUUAAUAUGUAUAUUAUAUAUAUUAUAUCAAUUGAAAUAAAUAUAUGUAUUUAUAUAUAAAUAUUAAUAUUUGUUUAAAAUAUAUUUAUAUAUAUAUAAAUAUAUACAUAUCAAUUUUAUUUUAUAAUAUGUAUAUUAAUAUAUAUUAAUAUAUAUUUGUAUAUGUAUAUUAAAUAUAUAAUAAUAUACAUAUUAAAAAACAAAAUUGAAAUAAAAAUAUUAUAUAUAUAAAUAAAUAAACAUUAAUAUAUAGAAACAGACCCAGUAUAUAUUUAAAAAGAAUCUCAACAAAAUUUUAAAUUAUAAAAAUAUUUAAAAAUAUCUCUAAAAAUAAUCUAAAAAUAUCUACAAUAAAAGUUAUUCAUAUACAAAGUUACAGUAAAAUAUUUGAAAAACUCCCUCCAAAAACAGCUAAUCCAAACGGGAGCCCGAUUCGACCAUUUUGUCUCUUCUUCCCCAUGCAUGAAGUUUCCUGACGGCUAAGUCUACACGGAGGCAUAUGCACCGCCAAAACCUCCCCAAAAUCCUAGUACUAUGCUAAUCCUCGUACGAUCUUUUUGUCUUCUACCUUUACCUUUUCCCUAGGCUGAUUUCCCUAGGACCCUUUACUAUAAAUCGUCCUUCCAGCUUGAUUUCAACUAUCAUGACAGAGAUAAUCAGUUUCUUGAUUUCGUGUUGGCAAAAAGGUUAGAUUUUCGUGUUGGUUGUUGCAUUUCUGGGAUAAUCGAGAAUUUUUCAAGGAGCUUGGCUGUGAAUUCGAGGAUGGAUUCGGAGAGGGAGCUUCAACACAAGCUGAUUAAUGCUGGGGUGAAGCUUCUGGUGCCAAUCUCUUCUACCGAUGAUCUCCUUGCCUCCCUCGAUGUAAAGAUCACUUUUUCAUGAGGCAUCUGGAAGAUUUAGAGAUUGGCUUGGCUUAUUUCCUUUUUUUUUUUGGGCUAUGUUGCAUGCAUGCGCAAAAUCAAAUAUAAAAGUUUUGGUUUUUGUCUCUUGAGUGCUUUUGUUGAUUUAGUCCUUGUUGAUUGAGAUUAUUAAAUCCUGUUUUGUUUGUAUCUUGGUGAUUUUGCUGCUUAAUAAUGUAAACUUUUGUUGGGUUUGCUUCUGUAAAGUUCAAAAUUAAUUGCACAUAGUAACAAUAAUUGAUAGAAAUAGGCUUGCACCAAGCACGCACGAGGCACAGAGUGUUUGAUCCUGUAGGUUCAAUGUUUAUUUGAUAGGUUACUUCUCCCUAAGAAAUGUUGUUAAUCGAGGCUUUCGUUUUCUCUGAUAAACGUUCUCUUUUCACGAUUCAAAACUGCUGGCUUACUUCUGCGUAUUAUUUUAUAUUCGAGAACUCUUUUCUGUCUGAUGUAAAUUAAUUAUUAUCUUCUUUUUCGUCCUGUUGUUUAGAAACUAGAGGGCCUUUUAUCGGUCCUAGGUCAAGAUCCUUUCAGUUCGAUACGAGAUGCACUGUUGCCUUCGAUGAAGGCUCUGAUCUCUGAUAGGCUGUUUAGACAUCCUACUACGGAGGUCAGGAUUUCGGUUAUGUCUUGCAUCUCUGAGGUGUUAAGAAUCACAGCUCCACAUCAACCUUACGAGGAUGAAAAAAUGAAAGUAAGCUGAAGAACCUAUGGUGGUAUUUAUUCUUGGUUUAGUUGCAUCUGCGCUUUGUAUUCUACACUUAUUUAGAACUCAGUUGUCAGCCUUUGCAUUUUGAUGGCGUGCAGGAAGUUUUUCAGCUAACUUUAGCUGCAUUUGAGAAGUUGUCUCUUUUAUCUGGUCGCUGUUAUUCUAAAGCUUUGCACAUUCUUGAAAUUGCUGCAACGUUCAGAUGCUGUGUUAUCUUGCUGGACCUAGGCUGCAAUGCAUUUGUCACUGAAAUCUUCGAACUCUUUCUAAGUACCAUUAAGUAAGUCUAAAAUCUUAUAUUUUAUUGACAAAAUCUUCUAAUUGACUGUUUGUCCUCUUUGGAUCAUUUAGUAAUUGCUAUCGUUCAGCUUUUUCAAAGUAACUCUAGUACUGGUAGUUACAAUACUCUUUAAUUUGAAGUUACUAGAUGUGUUACAUUACCUUCAACCUUCUUUCCUGAAUAUAUGAUCUGAUUUUCGCUUCAUGAAUUCCUCAGUGGCGGCAAAGGUUAAAAAAUUGAUGAGCUCAUGGGAAAACCUUUUUGAUGUGUUGUUGAGUGAUUAAAUCAUGGUCUCUAAUUCGAACAAUCAAAUUAUGAGUGUUCAUUUGUUUGUCUUCCACCUGUGUUGUACCUAUCAACAUAUUAAACUAUCAUGUGCUGAUAGAUACUCUUAUGUUUGAAUGUUAAAUACAAGGUUCAACCACCCGCAUGCUGUAUUCUCCAACAUGGCAGAAAUUAUGACUUGUCUUAUAGAUGCAAGUGAUGAAAUUUUAUUAGAUCUUCUAAAGCCUCUUCUGAAUAGUGUGAAAAAGGAAAAUCAGGUACUCUUCCUUGUAUAGAUCUCUGCGUCAUUUGUUCUCCAUUUUUUUUAAAAAAAUAAUCUGUACUCAACCACCUUUGUUGUUUGCCUCAGAUUACUUCACCAGCUUCCUCUUGGCUAGGAGAGAAAGUACUAAAGAACUGCUCAACUAAAGUCAAACCUUAUCUCAUGAAUGCAUUGAAGUCAAUGAGUCUAGAUAUUAAUGAUUAUGCCGAUAUAGUUGCUUUGUUAUGCCGAGAUAUGCCAGCUGGGGCCAAUGUGGUGCGACAUUUUUCUUUCGUUCAACUGGACCUUUUUUUUUUUUUGGCAAAAGGCAGAUAGGUUUAUGAUUUUAUACUGUCUCCAAAAUUUCAUACUUCUCUUGUAAUUUAUCUUGCUCCUUGUAUUUGUGAAUGAUGGAAAUAUGUUUGGACUUCCUUAAAGUUGUUGUUUCCCCCCACUGUCUAAUACGUGAGAUGUUAAGAAAUAGUCUAUAACUCUAUAUUCAUCUUCCUGUAACUCAUAGAAAAACCAGAAAUUGUUCAGGAAGAGAAUCAACAUCAGAAAAUGAUUGUUGCUAUAGAUUUUCAUUUAAAAUUAAGCUGUGCUUGAGAUGUCAGACUGAUUCUGUUGCUUCCAAUGCAUCAUAGGAUCGUUAGUUUUCAUAGUUGAAGUUCUGUAAAUCGAAUUAAUGAGUCUAAUUUUUCCUAAAGAUUAGGAAAAUGCUCUUUUAAGCAAAAUUAGUAGAUCAGGCAGCUGAAAUGGUUGAUAUUCUCCUGUUGGAAUUGCUCAGUCUAGUAAGACUAUUUAGAAUCUGGUUUUGUUCUUUGUUGCUUCUUCACUAUUCUUUCUGCUAUUUAAAUGUUUGUGUUGAAAUGAAGAGACUGGCUUUAAUUUGUCAAUCUUAAUUUAAUCAGGUGAUGGAGGAGUCAGGAAUGACUGCUGCUGACCUUGUGCAAGAUGAAGCUCAGCUUUGCAAGUCACUGCUAGAUGAUUGCACAGCUCAGGAGGCAUACAGUGAUGAUAAUGGAUCAAAUGAUAGGAAUUCUUCAAAGCUAUUGCAGAGCCAUGAACAAGUUGUUCAGCUGAAGAGCAUAGCUAAAAGAUCUGUUGCCCCUGGAGCUUUAGACGGUGGAGGAGAAAUGCAAGCAAGAGCAAGAGUACGAGUCAUGCCAAAUAGAAGGGGAAGAAAACCCAAUUCUCUGAUAAAACCGGAGGAAGGUUAUGAAUAUUCUGGGAUAACUGGACACCGAGAUUCUCACAGAAUACCUUGUAAGAAAAAGAAUCUUGGGAAAGUUAGCAGCUUACCGAGUAAUUCAUCUGCAACGGAGUCUGUUUUGCAGCCUGAAGCAGAAAAGGAUGACAAGCCAAGUUCUUUUCCGCCAAGAACGUUACAUUUUGACAGCAGAUGUGCUCCCAUUUCCCUAGAUCCAACUGAAGGAGGUAAAAGUCUUCAGAGAAAGAGUAGGCCAAGGAAGAAAGAGAGCAUGUUUAGUCAUGAUGUUAACAUUGCCAUGUUUGACAAGGAAGGUGUUUUACUGGAAGAUCAACUUAAGAAGAAAAGCUUGCCAGGUUCUGAUGGUUGCUUAAGAACAGGAUCAGACAAAACAGAAAAUGCUGACAAAAAACCUGGGAGAUAUUCAAGGAGGAAGAAAUCUGCUGUCUGUAACAACAUAGAGACAACCUUUGGCAUGAAGAAUGUAUUUGUAACAAAGGAAAAAGACAUGCAGAGUGAUUUGGAUGGAAAACCACUGCUUUUGUUUAGAAGGAAGGAUGGACAAAAAGGAAUGAAAGACAAAGAAAUUGAAAAAUCUGAGGUAUUAUGUUUGUUUAGUGAUGUUUGAUUUGAAUUUUGCGAUAGAGAAAAGUGGACAUAGUUUUGCAGCGACCAAAUAGGAAAUUAGGAUGUUUAAUUUGAUAUGGAGGGAGUUAUUUUUCAUGUAAAGGUGAAGCAAUUCUGUUUUCACAGUAGAAACCACCUCUGGUGUGAAAAGAGUACUUGUAAAGAAGGAAAAAGAUAUCCAGAGCGAUCAGAAGGAAAACCACUGGUUUUAUUAAGAAUGAAGGAUGGACAAAAAGGAAUGGAAUGCAAAGAAGCUGAAAAUUUUGAAAUAUCAUGUUUGUUCAUUAAUAAGUCAAUUAAUGUCUGAGGUAUUAUGUUUCUUUAUUGAUGUUUCUGUGCUUUUACCUACAAUUAAAACUGUCAAAUUAAGCAAAGUGGACAAGUUCUCCGCCCGCCACCCAUAUAGGAAAUGAGGAUGUUCAAUUUGAUAUGAGGUAGUACAAAAUCUUAUUUUUCAUGUAAAAGGUGAACCAAUUCUUGUAACUUCUGUCUAAAACUUUCUACUACAGAAAGUAGAUAAUUAGAAUCUUGCUUAGCAUAUGCUGAGAGCUUGAGCAAGCACCCCGGUCUCUCGAUAUGUUUGUAAGCAAUGACUGGCUAAAUUUCGUGCCUGUCUGAUAUGCCUUGUUUAGAUGCUUUGUGUUUGUUCCAUAUAUUCUGACAUGAUUUUCAUAUCUGAUUUCUAAUGUGCGAAGACAUCUUUUUGUAUUCAGGGUUGCAGAAGCCUAGAAUUGUGAAAGAGUAUGGUGAAGAAUUAAUUGGUUCAAGGAUAAGGGUCUGGUGGCCCAUUGACGGCAGUAAGUGACUCAAAUUGUUAAAUGAUCAAAAUUAAUGACAAUAUGUUGAUCCUUUUUGCUAUUUUUGUAAGUUUGAAUCUCUGAAUGUUGCUAUCAUCUUGACUUUGGUCCAGGUGGUUCUGCUUCUUUGAAACAGUUUACAAGUAAUAGGACAAUCUUCUGGGUGGCUUUGUUGAUAUGGGUGUUAAAUAGCUGAAGCUAUUGCCAUCUAAUUCCCCAAGCUGUCCCCAUUCCCCCAACUUUCUGCUUGAUUUUGGUGUGUCCUUCCACCUAAAAUGCAUGAACUACAACCCUUUUUUUUUUGUCUCAGUUUAAAUUCCAUCAGCUUUUCUUUUUCUAUGAUAUAACACCACUUAUUAGCUCCUACCUUACCCCUUAAAUGUCAGUAGUGGAAACUUCCUUAGCUGAUAAGUACAAAUUCUUUUAAAGGAGAUUUUGGCUUCAAAAGCCAAUUUUAUGAAGUUGGUUCAACCAAGGCUGGAGACUAUUUCACCACUAUUGCCUCCAACCAAAUAAUUCUAUGAUUUUUCAAAAACCAUGCAUGAUCUCAGCCUGAAAAACUGGGAAUCUUGUUCACUUAAGUGUCUUCUUUUCUCCGUUCCAGCAUACCUUUCUUUGACUGAGCGUAUCUGUGAAUUUUUCCUCUCCCCACUUCUGGGCAUUGCUGCCCUGUCCUUUCCCUCUUUUACUAAAGGAAUUUCAUAGUGCAUGAUGAUUUAGUGCCCUUAAAACUUAUAUUUAUGCUAGAUGAACCCAAUAUUUCAUUCUAAAGUUAUUCUUUUCUGAUUUUCAGUUUUGCUAUGGAAAACCAUGGCCUGCUAUGUGUUGAUUUUUUUUAAUGUUAAUGUAGUAGUUUGAUAUAUUUUUUGUGCUAAUAUUUCAUUUUUCUGUGGUUGGAAAUAUUUCUGCUCAGUUGGGUGUCAAUGGUGCUUUUUGGAUCAAUCUUUGACUGGUAAUGUAAUGUAUUUGAGCAUGUUAAAUAUGUACAUAUGUGCAUCUGCGUGUGCAUGUGUGUGGUAACUUGUUUGAAUCAACUUGGAUUCCAGAGUUGAUUAUUUCCAGUUGUAAGAAACUGAUGAUAUUAAUGCGGGCUGUUGGAAAAGAAAACCUUCCUAUUAUUAUGUUUGAACAGAACUGAAAACACAUGCUUAGAACUGGGGAAGUAAACAGUACUUUAAUUGCAUGACCAGAUAAAAAAUUAACAUGGGAUGCACAUCGAGGAGAAAAAUUGAUGUCAAUGGCCAUCAGAUUCCUCAAGAGAGAUGAAGUAAUGAAUCUAUGAAUCUAAGUGUCUGUUAUUAAAUCUAAGCAUGACAGGAUGAGGGCAGUAGUGAAGCUUUGCUGUUCAACAAUGUACUUGAAUACCAUUAAAGCACGAAAGCUGAACUUGAUUGAAGGCGACUAAUAUUGUGGAAGUUGGUAGAUUUCAAUUGCGUCGGAAAUAGCUUUGUUGAGUUGACUCAGCAAAAAGGUAAAGAAAUUGGGACGUCCUCAAGAGCUUUCUAGCUAUGGUUGUGAGUGAAACUUGGACCUCAAUGACAUGUAAUUUUUCCUCUUGGGAUAAGUAAUUUCCUUUUCAUAUGUAUGUUUGACUUCGAUAGUUGAUAUAUUGAUUAAGUACAUAAUUGUUAACUGUAUUAUGUGCAUGAACAUCGUAGUGGCUAGACACCUGGUGCAGAAUUUGCCAAAUAACAAAAUCAACUAAUUUUUGUGUUUAUUUUGGGUGGCAUUGUUUGAGUAGUCACUCUCUUCAUUAAUAAGUACAAAAUUGAAAUCACUACAGCUGAAAAUGAGAUAAUCUGUCGACCUUAAUGUUUGAAAUCGACCAAACUUGAGCCAUAUGUGUCAGGGAACAAGCAGAAUAUUAUGUUCUAUCUUAUUAAUUUUUUUUUUUUGCGCAGGUUUUACGAAGGCGCUAUUGAUUCUUUUGAUCCCUUGAGGAAGAAACAUAAGGUGAAAAUAUUGACAAUGACAGCCUAAACCUUUACGUUUGCUAUUAUUUAACUCUUUCAAAUUCAUCCUUGGUUUGCUUCAUCCUUUAUUAUACCUCCAUUUUCUUGCUUUUAGGCUCUGUUUUUUAUCCUUACCUCAACAUGAGAUAAGAAUACUUUGUAAACCUUCACCCUAUUCUUUUGGAUUAAAACAUUUUGCUGGUGCAUUUGUGACAUAUUAAUUCAUCUUAACUGCAUGAAUAAGCAGUCAUCUUAGUUUCUAUACUGUAAUUUUACAUGCUCAGGACCACAGUUUUCUCUCACUGGUUUGAAAUUUUGUGGUGAUCGAGAAUGUGCUGAUGUUAAAUGGUUAAGUUUGUUUUACGAGUGAUCACAUGCUUACUGUCCUUGUUUCAGGUUUUUUAUGUUGAUGGUGAUGAGGAGAAUUUGAAUCUAAAAAGGGAACGUUGGAUUUUGCUUGGCGGCAGUUCUUGUCAUCAAGUUAGUCACUGAUUUUCUAUCUGUCACCUUUCAAUUUUUUUUUUUUGGCUGCUGCUCUCAAGUACUGUUUGAGACAGAUGAGUUUAUUCUUUUAGAUCCUCAAAACGUGUUUCUGUUGAAAACUUGUCUUUACUUUGUUAUUACCAAGUUUUUUCAAGUCGUCAGUCAAGCUUUUCUUGGUGUUGUUCUUCACUUCCCUUAUAUCAGAAUAUGCAUAACUAGUUUAAUUCUCAUGUUCACCUUACCGAAAAUUCAGUUUUCUUUUGUGGAUUUUAGAUGUCAUGACAUUCCCUCUGAACAUCUGUACAGUAUGCUUUGCUGGCUUGCUUGUUAUCCAUGGAUGAUGAUUUUUUUGAUCAAUUUAGUCACUUAACUGGUUAGGGAUUUUUAAGAUUCCCUUUUUUUUCCAAUUUCAAGAGUCAAUACAGUUGGAAGGGAAAAAAAAAAGAAAAGGAAAAAUACAAAAUAAUUAAAAUGAAAAAGAGAGAAGCUGUCGUAAUAGAUACAAUCUGAAUAUUGACCUUGAAAACAGAUUAAAUCCUUUGAAGUAUCUUUUUCUAGGAUAGAAGGUUUAUCUAUCAGUAUGUGUCUUGGUCAUCACUUCUGGUAUAGGAUGUUUUUCUAUGAUGGAAGUUUUAUCUAAUUCUUUAUAUCUUGGCCAUUACUUCUGGUAUAGGAUGUAUGUGCAAGUGACUCUCACAUUUAACUUCUAGAACGUUACUCCACUGAAACAAUAAUGUCUUUUCUCCAGUCAACUUUUGGUGUUCUUUAAGUUGGAGGGGCAGGCAUUGGAAGCAUGAACACUUAAUCGAAAUUUCAACCAAAAGCUUCUUCUUUUUAGAUGUGCUUAUAUUUCUUUUCUUACUGAGGCUUAUAUUCACUUUGGCUGAUUUAGCAGAUGAAAACGAACACAAAGAAUAUGUACAAAGAUAAAACAGCAAGAUCUUUCUGUUUUUUCAACAUCAAAAUAUAAUUGUUAUUAAUAGUUUUUCCUUCAAAAUUAAGCUAUAUAUUCCAGACAUGAGACUGUAUCUGUUGUCUCUGAUUCAUCAGAGGGUUGUUUGAUUCCAUGUCUGGAGUUCUGUAUAAGAAUUGACGAGUUGAACUUUUUCUGAAGACAAGAUAAUUUGUUUUUUGUUAAGCAAAAUUAGCAGAUCAGGCAUGUCAAAUGGUUGGCAUUCUCCUGUUUGACUUGCUAAUGUCUUUGGUCAGUCUAGUUUAGAUCGUAUAGAAUCCCAUUGUAUAUUUUGCUGCUUUGUCACUAAUCUUUCUUCUGUUUGAAUAUUUACAUUAAAAUGUAGGGAUUGGCCGUAGUUUAUGUAUCUUGAAUUAAUCCUUGAAUUAAUCAGGUGAUGGUGGAGGGGAAACAACUGCCUCUCAUCUUGUGGAAACUGAAGCUCAGCUUUGCAAGUCACUUAUAGAUGAUUGCAAAGCUGAGGAGGCAGACACUAAUGACCAUGGAUUAGAUGAUAGGAGUUCAUCGAAGAUAUUGCAGUUUGAUGAAAAAAUUGAGCAGCUGAAGAGCAUGGCUGAAAUAUCUUUCGCCUCUGGAGCUUUAGAAAGUGGAGGGGAAAUGCAACCAAGAGCAAGAGUAGGAGUUACGCCAAAUAGAAGGAAAAGAAAACCCAAUUCUCUAUAAACAGUUGAAGUUUAUACUGAGGUAUUAUGUUUCCUUAUUGAUGUGUCGGUGCAUUUCUACCUGUAAUUAAAUUUUCAGAGUAAGCAAAGUGGACAUAGUUUUGUCACCACGCAAAUAAGAAUUUAGGAUGUUCAAUUUGAUACGAGGGAGUACAAAUCUUAUUUUUCGUGUAAAAGGUGAAUCAAUUCUUGUAGCUUCAGUCUAAAGAUUUCUACUAUAGAAAAUAGAUCAAUGGAAUCUUAGUUGGCAUCUGCUGAGAACUUGAGGAAGCACCCUGUUCUCUUCACAUGCUUGUUAGCAAUGAUCAACUAAAUUUCUUGCCUGUCUGAUAUGCCUCGUUUUGAAGCUUUGUGUUUGUUGCAAUAUCCUGACGUGAUUUUCAUAUCUGCUUUCUAACGUCCAAAUAUAUCAUUUUAUACUACUUCAGGGUUGCAAGAAGCCUAGAAUUGUCAAAGAAUAUGGUGAAGAGUUAGUCGGUUCAAGGAUAAAGGUCUGGUGGUCCAUGGACAGUGAGUAAGUGACUUAAAUUGUUGAUAAUGCUCGAGAGACAAUAUAUUGAUCCUCUGUACUUUUUUUGUAAGUUGAAUCUCUGAAUGUUGCUAUUAUCUUGACUUUGGUCCAGGUGGUUCUGUUUCUUUAAAACAGUUAAAGAGUGCUAGGAGAGUCAUCUGGGUAGCAUUGUUGUAUGGGUGUUGGAUAUCUGUAACUAUACUCAUCUUAUUUCACCCCCCCCCCCCCCCGCCUUCUUUCUGCUUGAUUUUGACAUGUCGUUCCACCUAAACUACAUCAACUACAAUCCUCCCCACUCUGUCUCAGUUUAAACUCCCAUCUUUUUAUUUUUUUUGUUUUCUAUAAUAUGGUACGAUUUAUAAUCUCCUGCCUUACCAAUUAAACACCAUCAGUGGAAGCUUCCUUAACUGAGAAGUAGAACUUGUCUUAAAGGAUGUUUUGGCCAAAAAGCCAAUUUUGUGAAGUUGGUUUGGCCAAGUUAGGAGACUGUUUCACCACUAUUGCCUCCAAUCCAGCAAGACUAUGGUUUUUCAAAACCCAUGCAUAAUCUCAACUGGUAAAACUAGAAUCUUGUUGGCUUAUUGACUUCUUUUCUGUAGUUCUAGCAAACCUUUAAUUGACCGACAUCUGUGAAUCUUUUCCUAUCCCAAAUUCUGGGCAUUUGCUGCCCCUAUCCAUUUUCCUUUUACUAAAGAAUUUCAUAGUACAUGAUGAUUUAGUCCCUCAAAACUCAGGUAUUUGUUGCUACAUAAAGUUGCUGUUUUCAUCCUGAAGUCAUCCUUUUCUGAUUUUCAAUUUUGUGAUUGAAGGUUGUGGCCUGUGUUAACUGUUAGAUUUAUUUAUUUAUUUUGUUUGUAGUUUUAGUGGUUAGGAAUAUUUCUGGCCAGUUGGGUGUCAAUGGUGAUUUCUGCUUUAAUCUUUCAUUGAUAAUGUAAUGUAUGUGAGCAUGUUAUAUAUGAACAUAUGUGUCUCUGUGCAGUGUGUAUGUGGGUGGUAAUUUAUUUGUUUGAAUCAACUCAGCAGCUGUAAUUGAUUAUUUCCAUUUGUAGGAAGCUCAUGAUAUGAUGCAGGCCAUUGUAAAAGAAAAUUUUCCUAUUGUUAUCUUGAAACAGAAUAGGGAAAAAGAUGAGAUAUCAUGAACAGAUAGUGAAAAUUCUCCCGGAGGGAUGAAAAAAAAAAGCUUAGAACUGGGGUAGUAAACAGUACGCUAACUGCUAUUACCAGAUAAAAGACUAACAGGGAUGCAUGUCGAGGAGGCAUAGUGAUGUUGAUGGACGUCAGAUUCCUCAAGAGGUGAAGUAAUGAAUCUAAGUGUUUCUUAUAACAUUAAUAAAUCUCCAAUGCUACUUGGGAUUACUUUUGACUUUGGUAGUUGAUAUAUUGAUUAGAUACAUAAGCAUAGAUACACUAUGUGCAUGAACAUCCUACUGGAAAGACACCUGGUGCAGAAUUUCCCAACAUGACAUCCUAGUUUUCAUGUUUACUUUGGAGGGCAUUGUUCGAGGAAUGCUCCUCCAUUUCAUUGAUAAAUGCAAAGUUGAAAUUUCUGCAAUUGAAUAUGGGAUAAUUUGUCAAACUUAAUAUUUAUGUCAGAGAACAGGCAGAAAGUUGUGUUCUAUCUUAUCCAGUUCCUUUUGUGCAGGUUUUAUGAAGGUGUUAUUGAUGCUUUUGAUCCUUUGACGAAGAAACAUAAGGUGAUAAUAUUCACAUUCAUAGCCUAAACCUUUACUUUUGCUAUCAUUUACUCUUCUAAAAUCCAUCCUUGGUUUUGCUUCAUCCUUUAUUAUGCCUCCAUUUUUUGCUUUUAGUCUCUGAUCUCUGUCCUUUCCUCAUAAUGAGAUAAGAACACUUUGUAAACCCUCCUCAUAUUCUUUAAGAAUAAAACAUUUUUUUGGAAGAUCCAUUUGCUGGUGUAUUUGUUACAUAUUGAUCCAUCUUAGCUACUUUAAUCAGCGGUUGUCUAAGUUUUUUUUAUUGUAUUGUUACAAGCUUAGGAGCACAGUUUUCUCUCACUCGUUUGACAUUUUUUGGUGAUUGAGAAUGUGCUGAUGUUGAAUGGAAGUAAGUUUUUUUUAUGAGUCAUCACAUGCUUCUUGUCUUUGUGUCAGGUUUUAUAUGUUGAUGGGAACGAGGAGAAUUUGAAUCUGGAAAAAGAAAGUUGGUUUUUGGUUGGCAACACUUCUUGUCAUCAAGUUAGUUGCCUGAUUUCCUACUUUUUCUUCAUUAUGCUAUUUGUGGUGUUUCUGUUAUCGCCUCCCCCCCCCCCACCCAAAAAAAAAAAAAAUUCUCUCCCUCUCAUAUAUUGAUGAGAUCUCUGUGAUGUGAUAUUGAUAGAAUAAACAAUCAAACCUUUCAAUUUCUGCUGCUGUGGCUUUGAAGUACUGUUUGAGACAGCUGUCAUUAUCCUUUAUUAAGGAUUUUCAAGUUGUCAUUAAGCUUUUCUUGAUGUUGUACUUGCCUUCCCCAUAUCCGAAUUUGUAUAGGUAGUUAAUUCUCAUGUUCACCACACUAAGAGUUAAGUUCCCUUUUGCAGAUUUAUGUUGCCAUGACAUGCUCCCAGAACUUCUGUACAGUAUUCUUUUGCUGGCUUGCUUGUUAUCUACAGAAGAUUAUUUUCUUGUUUGAUCAUUUUAAUCACUUAGCUGGUUAGGGUUUUCAAACAUUCAUUUGUUUCAAAUCCAAGGAUCAAUCCAGUUGUCAAAAAAAAGAUAAAAUUAUUGAAACGAAAGGAGAGAAACUAUUGUAAUAGAUAGAAUCCUAAUAUUGACCUUGAAAACAAACUCAAAUCCUUUAACAUAUCUGUUUAGAGAAGUUUUUUCUUUAUUUGUAUGUCUUAGCCAUAAUUUCCUGUAUAGGAUGUUUUGUCUAAAAUAGAUGUUUCAUCAAUGCUUUAUCUCUUGGCCAUUACUUUUGGCAUAGGAUGUAUGUGGACUGCACUUUCAAAUUUAACUUUUAGAACAUUCCUCCACUUGAACAAUAAUCAUGGGCAUUUCCUCCAGUCAACUUUUGAUAUCUUUAAACAAGAGGAGCAGGUAUUGGGAGCAUUAACACUUGAUCCAAAUUAGAAUUAGAGGUUUUUUUCCCCCGCUUUUUAGUGCUUAGAUUUCUUUUCUUACUGAGGCUUAUGUUUGCCGUUGCUGGUUUUGCAGAAGAAGAAAGCAAGCACGGAGAACAUUUAUAAGAGAAAACAAGAAGAUGAUUCUGUUUCUUCAGAGAAAAGGUUUGUCGUUUGAUAACGUUGUCUUUUCUUCAGAGUUUGAGUUUUUGGAAUUUUUAUGGCAUUCACGUCAUCUUCACUACUUUUUUUGUUGUUAUCAAAUGAAUUGCCAAGGGCUUUAUAACAGCCAGAGAGUUUCUGCUUUUAGGUACCCAACUCGAGCCCGAAAAGCAUCAAGUCUUCUGCUGUAGGUGAUCUGACAAAGGAUGAUAAGGAAACAAAGGAUGAGGACGAGAAUCUCAGAAGCAAAGCUCUCAAGGAUGCAAGUAAAUCUAGCAUGUAGCAGCUUAGCUACACAACCAAGAAGAUUAUUUCAGCAAGAACUCCAUGGAUAUGCAUGGAAAAUCGCGAUGCUGCGUCUUGAAAAUGGGCACAACUAAAUGGCCUGAAAACACAGACAAUGUCAUUAGGCUGAUGACAUGGUACUUAAAUUAAGAGUGGAUGAUUUGAAUUUUUGUAGAACUGGAUUUUGUUUUUAUUAUUACUGCCAAAACAUCCCAGUUUUGUGACUAUUAAGCUGAAUUAAAGUCAUCAAGCUGAAUUAAAGUUUCACGAAGUUUCACAAGUUCAUAGCUGAUUCCUGUACUUGUUAGGCUGGUCGACUGAGCUUUGUUGGUGCCUUCGCAGCUAUCGUGCUAUGUCUUGUGAAUUGUGGCUUGUACUCUCUGUUUACUUCGGGAUUCUACAUAAGUCCUUAAGAUGGUUAGGCUAACAGGAAGUUGAGAUGAUGGGAGGGAGGAUUGGUCAAAGGUCGUUUUGCAUUUCUUUUGUUUAUUUGUUAAAUUAGCAUUCUUUCAGCUUGUUGAAUGCUAACUCGGACAUAGGUAAAGACAAUGAUCAAUAAAAGUUCAUAUGGUACAUAAAAAUUGCUAGGCGUGAAGUGAAAAUGCAAUUACAAGAUUAUGUGCACAAAACAGAAGUUGUACAUGCCACAAAUAUUCAUUAACUCCAAACAUUGAUAUCAUUCAUCCAAAUAAUAAAAUUAGCAAUUUGACAAUAUGCAAAUGCAUUGAAGGCAUGUAUAAUUUUUAAAACGAAUAGGGUAUUUCUUGUAAUCAUGUUCGGGACAAUGAUUAACAGGAACAUUAGGAAGAUUAGUUUGGAGGAAAAAAGAAACGAAAAGAGUGGUAAUUAUUGAUAAAAAAAAAAAAGAAAAAUGAUCAUUUUGUUAGGAAGUACAAAUAAGAAUUCUGCCAACUCGCUGGUGUAGAGUUGAUUAAUUUAUUUUUCCUAAUAUAAAUAAUACACAAAUUUAAAAUCUCUCUUUCUUGGCAUUUUACUAUUUGAAGUCAAUGUUUAACAGCAUAUAGGACAUCAUUAGAAAGUUUUACUAACCAGACAACAUUUUCCUUUAUGAAAUAAAAACACUCUAGAAAUUACAUGGGUUGGUGGUGAAUGGUUAAUUCUUUUCACACGAGUGAUUGUAACAAAAGCAAAUGAAGUCCUUGAUCAUUAUAUGAAUAGUCUUCGUGACCAAUCAGUGACAAGUUUGACUUUUACUACUCUAUUAAUUUUCUACACAAUAGUUAGCAUCCAAAACAAAAAAAGUUGUCUUGCUUUUGUGCUCCUUUAUGCUUGAUGAAUCAUCACAACUAACUUUUUUUUUUUUUUUUGUCAAAAAAAAGAACCUGGCCCCACUUCAGGCCCCAACCCUUAUUCGAGUUGUUGGGUUAUUCCCCAUUUUUGUGACAAGACUCGAACACUGGAUCUCGAGUGUACUAACCCUUAGUGAGACCAGCUCGGCUGCCUUGGAGGGUCAUAUCAUCACAGCUAACUCGGUGGUAUGAUUUUGAUAAGGUCUUGAACAGCUACUUAAUAUUCAUACAUCUUAAGAAAAACAGAAUAACCUAAGGCUUUCUUUGAGGGGAGGAGAUGGGUUGGGGGAGGAGGGAAUAUCUAAUUUAGGCCCUUUUAUUCUAAUUCCUAUGUUUUAACACACUUUACCUAGAGACUGGUUUGUGGUGCCAAAGCUAAAGCUGCCAUUGCCAUUGGGUUUGAAUGUUUUCUUGCCCAGUAAUGCAUCCCGUAAUGCAGAGCAAAUCUUCAAAAAAAUGAAGGCCAAAUAUCCCGUCUAUUGAGGAAAAUGUUGAAAUCUCUGAUCCCUGAUAUGAUGCUUUGAAAUGAUUCACAUUUGCUCAUAACGUCGUUUCUAGCCUUCAUUGUUUCAAUGAUCUCUGUAUUGUUGAAUAUUUCAAUGAAGUAGUGGUAUUUUGACUAUUUUCUAAAGAAAGAUAUUUUGGUUUUUUUUUUUUAAAGUUCCAAUAGUUGUAUAGAAAAGUCGUGUAUGGUUAACUAACUGAUUGAGAAUUGGGUACAAGAAGUUCUGCUUUCAUUUUGGCAUUUCUUCAAAUUGAGUUACCUAGGAAAUUGGUUUUGUUGUGUUUGGUAGCUACUAUUUUGCUCGAUUGAAAUCAUGACGAAAUAUUGAAAGUACAUGUCAAAUUUUCAUUUUGCCAAUUGACAUCUUUAACAAAUAGAAGUUUUUACAAACUCUAGAAUAUUGACUAAGAGAAUAGGGUGGGAUAAGUAUUUGGAUUAAGUUUUUAUUUUAACUUUCAUAUUAUUUAGUUUAAAGUUUUAUAUUCUUAUUGUUCAAUUGUUAAAUAGUAAGUACUUUUGCGGCAUAGUGCACAGAUGAGAAAAAAAUUAGUAAUUAGGCUUAUUAGACAUUAUAAAUAAAUAUUUAAAAUUAAUGAUGGGUGCAAAGGGUGGAGUGGGAUAAGUUUUUGGAUUAUGUUUUAUGUUAACUUUCAUAUUUUUGGUUCAAAUUUUUAUAUUCUCAUUGUUCAAUUAUUAAAUAGUAUGCAAUUUCGACAUGGCGCACGAUGGGAAAAAAUUGGUAAUUAGACUUAUUGGCAUUAUAAGUAAAUAUUUAAUAUUAAUGAUGGGUGCAAAGAGUGGUAUAAAUUGAUAAUUUAGUUUACAAAAUAUAUUUAGAUAGGUUUGUAAAAAGUGAAAAUAAAUUGGUUGUAGAUGGAUAAUUGGAUUACCCCACCCAUUUUUUGACUUACUUAUUUAUACCCAUCUAAUUAUAUAUAUAUAUAAUUAUAUAUAAUAUAUAAUAAAGUCGUAUUCUCAUUCUUAUCCCUUUAUGUUUUCUCUUUCUUACGUGGCUUAACGAGAUGGCAAGUAGUUUCCUACGUGGCUUGCUCCUUUUUUGUUUAUAUAUAUAUCAAUUCUUAUUCCCUAUAAGAAUUCUUAAUAUUAUAUGAUUCUUAUUUCCUAUCCAAAAAAAGAUUGGAAAGUAAUGCGAUAUAAAUAAAAGAGAAAUAAAUAUCUCUAUAUAGAUAUAUCUCCAAAUUCAUGCCAAUAAUUUGUGUACUGCAUAGGGAGCCGAAGUAAAUAAGAAUUGUUAUCACUAAAAGAAGUAGAAAGUAACUAAUUUCAAAAGGAACCAUUAAUAACAGAAGUCAAUAUCUGAUGUUGGAAAUAAGAUUCUUAAUAAAUUUUAUUAUUAAGUACGUUAUCAAGACAUAGUGCAUAGCACGAAAUUUAUGGAAAAGAAAAGUUAAUUGAAUCAAUUAACUAUAUGUAUUUGACCCGUAUGGUUAAAUAUAAAUUUCUAUUUGAGCACGGGUUUGUAAAUUUCUAUAAACCCGUUCAUUGUUAAUCAAAAUAUGCAGGUUAUACUCAUGACUAGGUUAUAAGAUUCACAAUACAUCUCUGCUCAGAUGGUGGGGAGUAUUUAGUGUGUGGACCCACACCAUAGGAGUCCAUGCACUAAAAGGACUCGAUAUAGUUGAGGUGGUCUUUCAAGGUAGGUAAAGUUUGUCUUGAGAACGCAUUUUUAUUUCCUAUAAGAAUUCUUAAUAUUAUAAGAUUUUUAUUUCAUACCAAAGUUACGUACUUUAAACAAUUUAAAUCAAGAUAAACCUACUUUUAAUGUUCUCAUCAAUAUCUUUUAUAUUCUUAUCAAUUAUUUCUUAUGCCUACACUACAUAUAGCCUCUAAUAUAUUGAUUUCAAACAUCAAAUUCAUGGUUAGGUAUUUUCAGUGCAAGCGGUUGGCACAUUAAAGCAUCGAUUUUUGGUUUCCACUCCUCUUGAUUAUCAGGUACAUUUUCUUUCAAUACAUAUUUUUUUAAAAAAAGGCAUGUUGAUCUUCAAUUGUAAAAGUUUAGUAACAUAUCUUGAAUUUUGUUUUUAUUUUCUGUUUGUUUUUUUAUGAACACAUAGGAUUAGUAAUAUAUCUUGAAUUAGUAAUAAAAUUUCUCUUAUAUUUCACAUAUUAUAUCUCACAUAAUAUUUUUGCCUUUAAUUUUGAUAAAUCAUUAUCAGAUUGGUGGAACCGACAACCAUACCAACCUGAAGCAUCUUCUUCCUAGAUCCCAAUUAGUAUAAUAGAUUAUUCUAAUCAACAACAUUUCAAUACACUUCAUAUGAAUUAUUCAUCAGAGGGUUCAACAAAAACCACAGAGGAAGGGAAUCCUCAUAAAAAGAUUUGCAUGAGAAGGUAGAUUUAAUAUAUUAUUUUACUUUCUUAAAUUAUAAUCUUUACGUAUUGUUAUACACAAUCUUGAAUGCGAUAAAUCAUUUUUUUUUUUUAUACUUAGUUAUCCUGCUUUGCUAUCAUGCAGUGAUAAUGGAAAAUCAAUAAAUGCUGAUUUGCACGGACAAAUCGAGGAAAUGUUCAAACAGAAGAAAAAGAAAAACGAGUUUCUGAAGAGUAGAAUAUUAUUUGAUACUAUUUACUGCACUUUUUAUUUAUUUUCAAGUUUUUGAAUGUUAUGGUAUUGUCGAAUGUUAUUUUUUUCAUUUUUGAAUUAUUGUUUACUGAAUUAGAUGUUCAAAUUUAUAUUAUAAGAAUACUUUAUAUUACAAUGCGCAUAUAGUAAUAUACUUAAGAAAGGUUAUAAUAAAAUAUACAUUAAGUUUGUAUUUCAUAUCGACAUUUUUAUAAAAUUGACUAAAUAGAUUAUUAUUUUUCGAAGAUUCCCGUUCAACGAACGGGUACAAAACUAGUUAAAUGAAUAUAAAUAGAUUGACUCACUUAUACCUAUGACCCAUUUUAACCCACCCAAAUCAACCAUUUAACACCUCUAAUUUUAGCCUCCAAUGUGAUUUGAUUGAGCAUUUUAUACAUGCAACAACAGUAACUCUGUUCUUGAGCUAGAUUUUGAAUCAUUUAUUACAUCAAUUCCCAAGCCAACUCUAAUGAAGUCUAUUGGCAAUGAAGCAGAGUUUCUUAACAAAUAUAUUUCUACCCCCAUGUUCCAUGACAAAGAGAGUAUGGCCUAUCUUCUUCUUGAGUUUCUUCAAUCCCACCAUUACAAGGGUAAGGUAAACUAUCACCGUCCAAUCACAUGUGCAAUCUAAUAGCAAUACAAAAUGCUACAAUCUUAUUCACUAUCUCUUAUUCUAAGCAAAAUAUUGAAUUUUCUUGUGCUUAGAUUGAUAAUACAAUAGUUAACAUGAAAGUCAGAGAAUUUUAGUACUAUUCUUGAAAAUACCCAUGCAUAUGUAAUUCAUGUGAAAUUAUAUUAUCAAGUGCUUCAGAAGUGUCCUCCUCACAAUGAAGUAGAUGUAACAUGUGUUCUAAAUUUACUUACUGCUACAUUCUUUAAUCUUGUUUAAUGCUAAAUUAGAUGCAGGCAAAGACAACGAUCAUCAAAGAUUCAUAUAGUACAUAAAAAUUGCUAUGCUUGAAGUGAAAAUGCAAUUACAAGAUUAUGUGCACAAAAAAAAGUUGUACAUGCCACAAAUAUUCAUCACUCCAAAAAUUGAUAUAACUCGUUCCAAAAAUUAAUAUAGGUAUUUGACAAUAUGCAAAUGCAUUUAGGGCAUAUAUAAUUUUCAAGAUGAGUAGGGUAUUUCUUGUAAUUAUACUCUGGACAAUGACUAACGGCUAAAUUAGGAAGAAUAGUUUGGAGAAAAAAAAGAAAAAGAAAAGAGAGUAUUGAUCAAAAAAUUAUCAUUUUAUUAGAAAGUAACGUGAGUGCUAUGCGUGCUUUCUCAGAAAUAGAAUGCUGUCAAGUUUCUUGUGUGGAAUUGAUUAAUUUAACUUUCCCAAUAUAGAUAAUAUGCAAAUUUAAAAUCUCUCUUUCUUGGCAUUUUACUACUUGAAGUCAACAUAUAAUGGCACAUAGGACAUCAUUAGGAAAUUUUACCAAGCAAACAACAUUUUUCUUUACGAGACAAAAACAUUCUAGAAAUUAUUUUCAAAUGAGUGAUUGUAACAAAAGCAAAUUAAGUCCUUGAUCAUUGACUAAAUGACUUCAUGACGAAUUAGUGACAAGUUUGAUUCUAAUCGAUGCAAAUUGAGUGCUCAUUUUGAUUCUAAUGGACUAAAUGUCAUAUUAGUAAUAUGUGAGAGACAGUUAGUGUACUUUUUCCAAAUAAAAAAGUGAAAUUCCAGUUUCCCCUAUGAACUCUAAUUCAUGCUUUGAGAGAUGUGCUACUUCCAUUUAAAUGUAAUCCUAGAUGCCUUACAACAAGUAAUUGAUCCAUUAGAUUGUCUUUGUAGUUAAACGUUGGUGAUUUUGGCUCUAGUUACUAUCAUUAUGCAAAGUAAAUCAUGAGACCAUAGGUCGAGGAAGUGGUUCAAUCACAGUAGAGCUAGAACCUUGUGGUAAGGAGAUACAAUAGUCAACUUUAGCAUAAAUCAUGCUCUUAGAUUGAUAUAAGAAAUAGGAUAUUUACUUUGAUUUAGAAUGCCAAAUCCUUUUUUUUUUUAAUUAGAGUGUUGUUAAUGUUUAAUUUGGAAUAGAUCCAAAAUUUUUGUUAGAAAUAAUCAAUAAAAAAUCUUAUUUUUAAGGAAUAAAUGUAGAAUAAGGGAGGAAUAUAUAAAAUUUCAAAAGAUAAUCAAUAUAGAGAAAGGAAUUUUCUUAAAUUUAAGGGGGACAAUACAACUAAAAAGGAGAAUUUUAUGAAAUUCAAGGGUGCAAAUAUGAUGCAAACUUAAAACUCUUGAAAAAUUUCAAGACCAUUGUAUAAUUUUAUCAAAUUUGUGAGGGACAAUUGCCCAUCUACAAUCCUAUGUGACUUCACCGUUUUUCAGUCAUACCUAAUGAAUCAACAUGUGUUGGCUUAAGGAGCAUCCACUUCAUAGUGAAUUAUCUUAGUGCUAAAUUCUUCUCUCGUUUCUAGUACUAACUUAAGAUACAAGUACAACAAUAUGCCAUAUGGAUUGUUCUUUUUUUAAAAAAUUAUUUUUGUUUGUGAAGUUUACAAUAACUUCAAAAAUACAGACAAUCUCAAAUACACCUAAAAAAAAUAAAAAAAAAAUUAAUUUCCACCCAACAGACAUACCACCACCACCUAUUACCACCACUUCCUUCCUCCUCCUCUCUCCUCCCUCUUCCCUCCCCUCUUCCUUUCUUUCCCUCCCUCCUGUGGCGGCAGUGGUGGGUGGUGUUAUUUUCAAAUUUUAAAAAUAUUAAAAUUUUUUUAAUUCUAAAAAUAUUUUAAAAUACAUCCUCAAAACACCCUAAAAAAUACCUUCAAAAACACUUAUAAAAACACCUAACUAUCUGUAGUAAAAGUUUUUUUUUUACAAACACUGUUACAAUAAAAUUUUUAAAUAAGCACCCUAAAAAAUACCUAAUCCAUGCGAAGCCAUGAUUAGAAAAGGUUAGUAUGAUGCGUGAAAAUUGUUAUGCAUAAAUUUGCCGAACAAUCAACCUAUAUCUUUUCAAAAGAAAGUGAAUGUAAGAAAAUAUGACCUUAUUAUGUUUUUCAUGAAUAAUCAUGUUCUUCAAAAUAGUUAACAUCGAAUCUAGGAAGAAUAAUUUGAAGAGAAAAAUGACUGGUUUAUUAUAAAUAAAAGUAUAAAAAUAUACUAAGAAGGAGCACUAACUAUUUCACACUAACUAUAAUUUAUUAAACUCGUGGAGUUUACUAAUGGAGUUUGCAUGAUAUAGAUAACAUACACAUCCAAAAUCGCGCUCACUUGAUGGUGACUUUCUUCCAUUAUAUUGCUGGUGGUCUACAAUUGGAAGCAUAUUUUCUCGGAAUUGGAAGCACUUAAAAGUGUUUUACAAUGAAGACUUCUAUGGUUAGAUCUAUCAAAUUGUCAACUGUUUUAGAAGUAUCCACUUCAUAAUAACUAAAUAACAUACAUGCAUGUUUGUGUUUGGAUUGCUAUGUUUUAAAGUUUUAUAGAAAAAUUUGUUGUAACGAUUUCAUGUAUAUGAGGUAAAGGUGAUUGGAAAUUGUGAUCACAAAAAAUGUAAAAUUUUUCCUAGAAAAAACCUCAAUCCAAACAAGGAAGCGCUUCUCUGCAGAUUUCUCUCAGCUAAUUAUACUAAUUGAGAAACAGGCAAGACAUUAAUUAUUGCAAAUUAAGGUUGGUAGAUUAGUUGAAAAAUAUUUUGCUUUAACUUGCCAAACAAUCGACCAAUACUCUAUUUGCGCACAGGCAUUUAGGGCAUAUAAAUUUUAAGAUAAGAAAAAUUGAUUUCACUCCAUUUCUAAUGUAUAAUCAAAAUUUCCACACAAAGCUAAAAUCUAAUCCAGGAAGAAUAGAUUCGAGGGGAAAAUGGCUGAGAUGUUAACUGUCGAUCCAAAAAAAAAAAACAUAAACUUAAUUUAAAGUACAUUUCAAGAGCCAAAUUGCUUUAAAUCUUUUUCAAUACUAAAUAAUCCAAAUGUUAAAUCACAAAAUCACUCAAAUGCAUGCUCAUAAACAUAUAAACUGCAUUUGUAUUGUCCCGGCAUCUUUAUUAUUUAGAUAACAUAGGAAGCUUCUCUCCCUUUGACUGUUCUUGUAUUUAAUUUUAUUUACCUUUUUUGACAUCAUUCUUUUCUUUAAUUCUGAAUGACUUCUUUUUCAAUACUAUUCUUCAUUACUAUAUAUGAUCAAUUUCAAAAGCAUCCCUAACAUAGUGAACUGACCUAUCAUCCUCUAAAUUACCCUUCUAUGUUUUGAUUUCAAUCUUUAGAUGGAAAUAUUGCUGCCUGCCUUUAAAUCAUCAAGUCAGACUUCGAUAGAGUUUGUUUUAUUAAAGACAAUUAAUUCACAGUUAUUGCUACAUGCACAAGAUAUGCACGAUAAAUUUGUAUCGAAAACAAUCUACUGAGCUUGAUUGUCUUCAGAGUGGAAUGUAGCAUUUUGAUCAUUCCACCAUAUGAUUCUGAGAAUGCUUUGGUUCUUCCCAAAUCUUGUUGCAAUCUUGAUUAUAUAGUCAAAAUGAGCCAAAUUCUUGGAUGGAUUCCAAAAAAUGGAGUUGUUAAAAGUUAUUGCUCUGAUUUUCAGUUCACUAUUUACUAUAGAUUGAUCCAACCCAAUUAAGACAAACUCAGCUAUGUAAAAGUUGAUGGUAAAUGGAACUUGAUUUUCUUUUUUGAAAAAUAGCUAGGUAAUGGGCAUGGUUCUCUCAAAUUUCGUUUCGUCCCACUAAAAUGCUUUCAAAGCAAACGUAAUAUAUCCUUUGCUCAUCUCUACAUCGUAAGUGCAUCAAAUUAUGCACAUUUGGAUUGGAGAAUUUGACGAAAGAUUUGAAAUCCACUCAAAUCGCUCUAGUUAUUUGGGUAACUUUAGAUGCAUUUAGAUUUGUAAUUUACCAAUUAUCAAAAUAUAUUUUAAAAUGACAAUAACCGGCGAUUUACAAAUUCAAAUACCUUCUGAAUAAUUUAAACAAUUAGAGGGAUUUGAGAGUAUCUUUCUUCAAAUCCUUGAAUCCAAACGUAGCCUGAAAUUAGAGGAGUAAUUAGAGGUCCUGAAGGAAUUGUUAUUGCUGGAACUAAAAUGACCAUAGGGCACAGCAAUCAAACGGCAGAAUUACGUGCACUUUUUUCUUCUUUUAACGAAAAAUUAUGCGCACUUAAUGUAGGACUUGCAAUUGGAUUGAACUAAUAUCUCACCUCUAAUUAUUCAGUCUGAUUCUUGGGUUAUUGUGAAAUACAUAUGUAGACCUCCACAUGCAAACAAACUUGAUCAUGGAACGCGGGAUUGUCAGGACAUGUACUAUUGGCAGAUCCUUAAAUAAACGACCUGUCUACUUAGCAUCCCCUCCGGCUUAAUAUUUUGGGCAUGCAAGUUAUGAUGUACUAAAACUAAUAACACCUAGAAUAGGUCUUGCACAUAACCGUGUUUUAGUAAUGGAAUCUUUGUUUAUCUCAAACAUGUAUAAUGGUGCCUUAAUAGUGCUGGUGGCAUUGGCGCCUACUAUAUAAACCAUUUAACUGUUACUCCUGGGCAGCUCGUUUGGUCACGACAACCCCUUGGAAGUCGUUGUCCAACUCUCCCACCAGGGAUCGAGUCUCAGGAUUACCGUGUUCGGGGGAAGGGCCUCUCCUCUCAGGUUGGAGUGGGAUUAGUCGGGUCCCGUAAAGAUUGACCCGGACACCCACCCCGUCAGCCAAAAAAAAAAAUAUAUAUAUAUAUAUAUAUAUACACACACACACACACCAUUUAACCACUAUCCCUUCAAUUUUAUCUUCCUUUAUAUAGAUUGGUAAUAGUUCACGUGAUUUGCAUGUGAUCACAGUAUCAUGAUAUAUGAUAUUUCUUAUACACUAAUUUUUUGGCAAAAUUUUAUUGUUAACAUCAUAAUUUAAUAUGUGCAUAUUUUUCAUCUUUUUUGACCAAUUAUCUUUAAAACUUUAUUUUAAAUUAACUGGAGGUAUCACCCAUUUGUUAAAUUUUCUCUAGAGAAUUUCUCUGAAUUUAUUGUGGACUUUUUUUUCUAGCUUGCUAAGCAAAAGAUAAUUGUUUGGACAAAUAAUGUUUGUUUGCUCUACCAUUAUUAUUUUUUAUGGUUUGCAAGUUGAAUAUGUUAGUACUUUGAUGUAAUUUUUCAAUAUGAAGUGAUAUGCAUUGUUUUUGAAAAAUGAAGGGAUGUACGCACAUUCUUUAAAAUUGAACUCUUUUGCAUUCUUUUGUAUGAUAUUUUUGUUAUUAAUGGAGUGUAAAUGAUCAACCAGAUACAAAGAUUUUAUGUAUGACUGUUCAUUUUUACAAUUGAAAUUUCAUUUCUCCAGAAUAAUUGAGUUUUUCUUUUUCCUUUCCUUUCCUUUUCUUUUAUUUUUUUUUGUGGAUAGAAUUUGAUACAAAGCACAAAUGACAAAGACUCCAUUAUCCUAAGAGCACCCUAUUUUUGUACCAAGAGUAACAUUUAUGACGAUUUAGAAAUUGAAUUAGGCUGUAAUUAAUCAAGAAAUUUAGAUCGAAAUAAAAAGUGUUGCUUUGUUUAUUGUCUUCAUAGUUCAACGUCAAUUAAGUUUUUAGUUUUUGGCCUUCAUAAGUGAUACCAUUAUUGACUAUUAUUAGAACAUAAUAAAUCUAAUUAUUAGGAAGAAAAGGCAUUUUUGGCAUAAUGUAAAAUUAAGACAAAUCUUACUUAAGCUCUAUUCUUCCUAAUUAAACCUAUACCAUACUUAUAUAAACAGGAGUAUUUGGAAAAAGCUGCACAAAGUAAGGCUACUUGGAACUGUUUCGUACCCUCUUUUCUUGUUCUCUUCUACCACAUAACUACAUAUUCAACAUAUGGCGGAGGACAGACAAAGCUUCAUCUUUGGAUCUGAGAUUUAUAUUCACUAAAGAUACGCCAUUAGAUUUACAUGGUGAAAAUGAAACUUAGUCGAAUGACGUGUCAAAUGUGGUUUUGGCAAGGUGACAUAUGAUUUGUCUUUCAUUAACUAUUGCUACCUCGGUAAAUUCAUUGCCCGUAUGUUGUUCGCUUGUCAUAGCAAAAAUCACAUUUUGCAUUUGAUUUAGCACAACGCAAAAUUUUUUAAGUAUCCAAAACGACAACCAUUUUCCCAACUAAGAAAAAAAAAAGACAACCAUUUUCUUAAUGUAUACACUGUUUAUGUGGCAUUCCAUAAUUAACUUUCAGCAAAUGCCCAAUAUAACCAUUAUGGCAGCCAAUAAGGACUCAAGUGUCAACUAAUUUCCAACUUUUUUUUUUAACCUCUUAUAUCUUUUCACACCCUUCUCACUCCCAAUUAUCAGGAUUCGAAUUUUGAACUUAACAGUGAAAGGAGAUCUAAAUCAACUUCAACUUCAUUAAAGCAUAAUGAAAAAUUUUGAACAGCUAACACGAGUUAGUUCAAUUGGUAAGGACGGCCAAUUUUUUUUUUUUUUUUUACAAAAACAGAUGUGUUUAAAUUCCAUUAUCAACAUUAGCACUGUGCUGUUGAACGACUUGUAAGUUUUAAAUGACUUAUGAUCCACCUGUGUUGAUGCUCGAAGCCAAAUCAAUUUUGAGCAAAUUGCAAUUCAGGAAAAGAAACCCUUGAGAAGGGCAUUAUGCUAUAAAAUGAAAUGAAUUGGUGAGUUCAAAGUGGACUUAUUUUGACUAAUAUAAGCAUGAAAAAGUUGAUUCAUCUCUCAUUAUAAGUAAAUAGAUUUUGUUUAUAAACUCCCCGUGCAUUAUACGUGUUUUUUUUUUUUUGAGGGCAAUACGUGCAUUAUACGUGUUUGGACUUGGUAAUCAAUUUUGAGGGUAAAAAACAAUAAUCGACAUUAGGAAGGGCCAACUAAAGACAAAAUAGAGCCUAAGAAAAUUAUGAAGUCAAAUUUUGUACUCACAUAUCAUUACAUCCCUUCAAGAUCUGCUCUUGUCAAGUCACUUCACUUCCCACAAUCCCACUUCAGUCAGCUGACUUCCCACUUAAAAGUGAAAAAUCCCACCAAAUUGUACGAACAAACACCGGAUUUCAAACUCAAAAUUUAGCUAAAAUGCAUAUACCACCCAGAAUCCGCGAGAAAUUCCAUCAGAAUUCGAAAAUUCCUCUGCAUGCAAAGCCAUUUCUUCUUGCAGAUGUCCUAGUACCUGUAACGGCUAUGUCUGAGAUUACCCAUUCAUGGCCAUAAUUUUAAAAAAUGCAGCUUAUUCUGUACUCUUAGUUAACUAGUUCUGCACUCAUCACUGCGUCAGCCCACAAAAACCUGCCUUUUCCUUUCAUCCGACGACGGAAGUUCCUAGGCUUAUUGAUAAAAUCUCCUUGAUUUCUUCAAUUUUCAACUCUUGGGGAGAAAUUUUGGUGCAGGGUCGACGAAUUAAGGGCCAAAUUCGAGUUGGGUUGGCAAAAAUAUAAGAUUUUGGAGGUGGGUUUUGGGAAUUAGGAGCUAGGUUGCCAGCAUUUCUUGGGUUGGGGUAAUUUUGCCUCGUGGCUCUGUGGGGAUUUAAGUUGGGCAAUGGAUGUUAACGGUUUGGGUGUUUUGGAUUCGGUGAAGGAGCUUCAACUUCAAAGCCAGCUGAUUGAAGCUGGGGUGAAGCUUCUGGUGCCAUCUUCUUCUGCCGAUGAUCUUCUUGCUGCCCUCGAUGUAAAGAUCAUUUCUUUUAUGCUACAUUUUCUGCAUUCUUUUGAUGUUGGCUUGAUUUAUAAUUUUGUUUUAGCUAUUUUGCAUGCAUGUGAGAAAUCGUGUAAAAAUGUUUUUGAUUUGGUCUUAUUGGGGUCCUAUAAUUCGUGCUAAAAGGUUAUUUCUUGAGCGUUUUUGUUGAUUUAGUUCUUUGGUUUUGGGUGGUUGAGAUUGUAAAUUGGCGCUUUAUUUAUUUGGUCAUGAAUUUGCUGGAAAAAUGUGAAUUCUUUCCCUAAUAUUGGGUUUGAUUUUGUAAACCACAAAAAAUAAUUGCAUACGUUUACCAGUUGGUAAGAAAUAGGCUAGCACCAAGCACGCACGAGGCACUAAGAGUUGUUCCUAGUACAUUAUUGUUUCAUAAUCAUUUUGAAUAAGGCAAAAUAUUUAUCGCAUUUUUGUUGAUUUUCGUGAUCUUUAUUUCUCAGUCGUAGGUUCAUGAUUGUUUGAUGGCUUACUUCUGCCUGAUAAAUAUUGUGAAUGAGGCUGUCCUUUUUCCUUGAUGAAUUUGUUAUUUGUUCAAAUUUGUCGGCUUACUUCUACAUAUGAUUUUGCGUUCCACCUCUCAUAGUGUAAAUUAACCAUCAUCCUCUUUUUCAUUCUGUUGUUUAGAAAGUAGAGGACCUUUUAUCCAUUGUGGGUCAAGAUCCUUCCAGUUUGAUUCAAGAUGGGCUCUUGCCUUCGAUGAUGGCUUUGAUCUCUGAUAGGCUGCUUAGACAUCCUAAUACAGAUGUCAGGAUUUCAGUUAUGUCUUGCAUCUGUGAGGUGUUAAGGAUAAGUGCUCCGCAUCAACCUUAUGAGAAUGAAAGAAUGAAGGUAAGCUGAACACCUACAACAAUAUCUACUCUUUUCUGUAUUUGUUUGUCUGCUUCCUAUUGUAUACUUGUUUAGAGCCAGUUCUCAGCCUUUUCAUUUGCAUGCUGUACAGGAUAUUUUUCGGUUGACUUUAGCUGCAUUUGAGAAGUUGUCGCUUUUCUCUGGUCGCUGUUAUGCUAAAGCUUUGCACAUUCUUGAAAUCGUUGCAAAGGUCAGAUGCUGCAUCAUCUUGCUGGACAUAGGCUGCGACUCAUUGGUCACUAAAAUCUUUGAAGUCCUUCUAAGUACCAUUAAGUAAGGCUAAGAUGUUACAGCUAAUCUUUAAAUGUAUUUUUAUUGUCAAGACAUUUUGAUUAACUGCCUUUUCUCUUUGGAUCUUGUAGUAAUUGAUAUUUGUUAGCUUCUUUAAAUUAACUCUAAUACUAACAAUUAUAGAAUUCGAACUUGUAAUAGCAUUCCCAUUUUCCUGCAAAUAUGAUCUGCUUUCAACUUCGUGAACUCCUCAUUUAGCAGCAAUGAAAUUGAAAAUUUGCUGGAUUCAUGGCAAACCUUUAUUACUUGUUGUCGAGUGAUCAACUCAUGGUUUGCAAUGCAACUUGCAUAACGGAGUAAUUUAGAAAGUUGUACCAAAUUAAACAAAUUAGAGGUAUUCAUUUGCUAAUCUUGCACCUGUCUCAUGCAAGUCAACACAUUCAAUUGUGAUGUGCUGAUUGUUGUUGUGUUUGAAUGUCUAAUACAAGGUUCAACCACCCGCAAGCUGUAUUCUCAUACAUGGAAGACAUUAUGACUUGGCUUUUAGAUGAGAGUGAUGACAUCCCAUUGGGUCUUUUAAAGCCGCUUCUAGCUAGUGUGAAAAAGGAAAACCAGGUACCCUUCCUUAUAUAGAUCUCUGUUUCAUUUAUUCUUGUUCUUGUUUUAUUAUUACUCAGUUACCUUUAUUGUUUGCCUCAGAUUACUUCACCCGUUUCCUCUUGGUUAGGAGAGAAAGUAUUAAAGAACUGCUCAACUAAAGUCAGACCUUAUCUUAUGAAUGCAGUGAAGUUAAUGAGGCUAGAUAUUAAUGAUUAUGCCGAUAUAGUUGCUUCGUUAUGCCGAGAUAUGCCAGCUGGGGACAAUGUGGUGCGAUAUCUUCUAUCCUUCAACUGACUUCUUUUUUGGCAAAAGGCAGAUGUAGUUAUGAUCUGUGCUCAUCUCCAAAUGUUCAUGCUUGCUUCUCAUAUAGUUUUUCGUUGCUCAUUGUAUUUGUGAUGAUGGAGAUAUGUUUGGACUUCCUAAAAUUUCUUGUUUGUUCUCCUUCACUUUGUUAUAACGAGACAUUAGAAAAUAUACUAACACUCAUCUUCCCUUAACUAAUAGCAAAAUUUGAAGUCAUUCAGUAAGUUAAUCAACUUUAAGGAGUAACUUAUGCUGUCAGUGGUUGUUCAUUCAAAUUAUGCUAUGUGUCCCAGAUGUGAGACUGAAUCUGUUGUCUCUCAUGCAUCAGGAAGUUUUUAGUCUUUAAGUUUGGAGUUCUUUAAAUUUAUUUGCGAAGUUGACUUUUUCCUAAAGAUGAGAAAAAGGUUCUUGUAAGCAAAAUUAGCAGACCAGGCAUAUCAAAUGGUUGGUAUUCCCCUGCUAAUUUCUGGUCGCUCUAGUGUAGAUGGUACGGAGUCCAUUGUGUUUGUUUCUGGUUUAUCGUUCUUCUUUCUGCUGUUGGAGUAGUUGAAAUAAAGAUAUGAGAUUGGCUUUGAUUUAUUUAUUUUGAAUUAAUCAGGUGAUGGUGGAAGCAGAAGCAUAUGCAUUUUUUGUGCCAGCAGAGGCUGAGCUUUGUGGUUCACUGCUGCAUGAUGGCACAUCUCUACAGAUUGAUGAUGAUGACAGCAGAUCAAAGGAUGAAAUUGAGCAGACGAAGAGCAUGGCUAAAGAAUCUGUUGCCGCUGAAACUUUAGAAAGUGGAGGAGAAAUUCAAGCAAGAAGCAGGUGUUGGAAUAGUACCAAGUAGCAUGGGAAGAGAAUCUAAAUCUCUGGUAGAACGAGAGAAAGAUUAUGAACAUUCUGGGAUGACUGGCAGCCCAAAUUCUCUUGAAAUGCCUUAUAAGAGGAAGAAUCAUGGAAAAGUCAGUAGCUUGCCACAUAGUUUGUCUGCAGAAGAGUCAUCUUUUCAUCUAGAACCAGAGAAGGAGAGCGAACCAAGUUAUUUUCAACCUAGAACAGCACGCUUUAACAGCACACCUCCUCCCAUUUCCCAGAUCCAAGUGAUGUAGGUAAAAGUCUUCAGAGAAGGGGUAGGUCAAAGAAGAAAGGGAACAUGGCUAAUCAUGAUAGUGAUCUUGAUGGUCUUUCAGGGCUUGAUGGUCACUUAAGAAUAGGAUCUUCCAGAACAAAACAUGCUGAAGAAAACCCUGUGAGAUAUUCAAGGAGGAAGAAAUCCGCUGUUAAGAAUAAUAUGGAGAGAACUGCUGUGUAAAGAAUGUAGUUAUUAAGACGGAAAAAGACAUCCAUAGUGAUUCAGAAGAACAACCACUUAUUAUAUAAGUUAAAGGAUGGAAGAAAAGGAGCAGAAGACAAAAAAGCUCUAAAAUCUGAGGUAUUGUGUUUGUUCAUCAAUAAGUCAAGUGGAGGAACUUUGUUUGUAUAAGUGAUGUUUGGAUGCAUUACUACCUAUGAUGAUUAAAACCUUCCAUAUAAGCAAAGUGGACAAAGCUUUUUCACCACCCAAAUAGGAAAGUAGGAUGUUCAAUUUGUGGAGGGAGUAAAAAUUUGAUUUUCCAAGUAAAGGGAGAAGCAUUCUUGUAGCUUCAGUCUAAAGCUUUCUACUAGAGAAUGUAGAUCAAUAGAAUCAUGCUUGGCCUCUGUUGAGAUCUUCAGCAAGCACUCCUGGUUUCUCUAAUGUGUCUCAGCAGUGAUUGCUAAAUCUUGUUUCUGUCUCAUAUGCCUUGUUCUAAUGCAUUUUUCCCCCCAUAUAAUCUGUGGUGGUUUUUGUAUCUUAUUUCUGAUGUUCCUGUAAAUAUUUCUUUAACCAAUUAGGUAUCCAAGAAACCUAGAAUUGCCAAAGAGUAUGGUGAAGAAUUAGUUGGUUCAAGGAUAAAGGUCUGGUGGCCCAUGGACAGUCAGUAAGUAACUUAAAUGUUGAUAAUUCUCUAGACUUUGUAUCCAUCCUCCAUAUAGACUUCUUAAAUCUUAAAUCUUAAUGUUACUGUCAUUUUGACUUUAGGCUAAGUUGUUCUGCUUCUUUGAAAUACUUAGAGUAAUGGGAGAAUCUUCUAAGCCGUGUUUGUUGAUCUGGAUGUUACUUGUUAGAUAUUUGAAGCUAUUUUGAUCUGGCUUUUUUUCCAUCCUCAGCAAAGCUUUAAUAUGAUUUUUUUGGGCUUCAUUUUGACAUGUCCUUCCACCUAAACUACAUCAACCCCAAUUCUCGAUGCCUUUUUGCUCAAUUUAAAGUCUCCCUGUUUUUAUUUUCUGUUGGACGACACCAUUUUAAGUCCUGCCUUAUCAGUUAAACACCAUCAGUGGAAACUAACUUAGCUGGAAAGUACAAAAUUCUCCAAAAAGGAUGUUUUGGCUUCAAAAGCAUAAUUUAUGAAGUUCGUUCAGCUAAGCUAGGGUCCAUUUUACUACUAUUGCCUGCAAUCAGACAAGACCACGGGUUUCCAACAACUCUGCAUAAUCCCAAACUGAAAAAACUAGGAACCUUAUUAACUGCCACAGUGAAUCUUUUCAGAGUUCCAGCAAACCUUUCCUUGACCGAGCAUUUCUCUGUAUUUUUCCUCUCCACAGCUGGGCAAUUGCUGCCUGAAUCCUCUAAUCGUUUUAGUAAAAGGAAUUUGAUACCGGAUUAUGAGUAGUGCCCUUAAAAUUUCCGUUUGCUGCAUCAAGCCAAUACUUUCAUUCUUGAAUAAGCCUUUUCUGAUCUUGGAAUAUGUGAUGGAAUGACGUUGCCUUGUUGAUUUGUUCUGUUGAUAUACGAGUUUUACUGGUUGGGAGUUUUUCUGGCAACUUCGGUGUCAAUGUGGUUUGGUAAAAAUCUUGACUAUGCUGUAAUAUGUACAGCAUCUCGCGCGCGCGCACGUCUGUGCAUGUGUGUGUGUAUAUUUAGUAACUUUGUAUUUGAAUCAACUCGGGCAAUUUUCUGUUAUUUCCAUUUGUACGAAGCUGAUUGAUAGGAAUGCAUGCCAUUGUAAAAGAAUCUUCAGUCUGUUAGAUCUAAGCAUGACAAAGUGAGGUCAGUACUGAAGCUUUCCUGUUGGAUAAUGUACUUGAUUACCAUUAAAGCUUGGAAGUUUGAAGUUGAUUGAAAAGGGCAUAUAGUUUGAGUGUAGGCAGAUUAAAGAUGGAUCGGUAAUAGCUUUGUUGAUUUGAAUUAGCAGAAAAGGAAACAAAUUCGAACCUUCUCUGGAGAAAUCAACCUAUCGGUGAGUAAUACUUGGGUCUGAAUGAGAUUUUAUUUUUCCUCUAGGGAUAAGUAUGUCCUUUUGACUUUGAAAGUUGAUAUGUUCAACGAAUACAUGAUCAUGAAUGUAUUGUAUGUACAGACUCCUUGGUGGCAAGACACCUUGGUCCAGAUUUUGCCGAAUUGACAAUGAACUUAAUUUUAUGAUUAGCACAGGUAGUGUUAUUGUUGAAAUGGUAAACUGGUUCUUCCAUAAAUUCCAAAUGAAAAUUCUACCACUGGGAUUGAGAUAAUUCAUCAAACUUCACGUAUUACAUCGGCCAAACUUGAGCCAUUUAUGCCAUCUUCAGUGUUAGGAAAGAAAUGGAAUGACAUUUUAUCUUAUUCAUUUUCUUUUGUGCAGGUUUUAUGAAGGCGUUAUUGCUUCUUUUGAUCCUUCAAAGAAGAAACAUAGGUGAUAAUUUUUGCAAAGAUGGCCUAUUUAUUUACUAUUGCUAUCAUCCAACUCUCCAAAUCCUCCUGCACCCUUGGUUUGCUUCAUCCUGUAUAUUAUACCUCCAUGUUGUGCUUUUAGGCUGUGAUCUUUAUCACAAACUUAUAAUAAGAGAAGAGCACUUGUAAACAUUCCCUUUUAUCCUUUAUGAAUAUGACCUUUUGUGGUAGAUCCAUUUGCUACUGUAUUUCUCCCUUUGAUACAUAAUAGUCUUAAUUACUUUAAUAUAUUUAAGUGGCUAUAUAAAAAUUUUUGCUCCAUAAUACAUUCCAGGAGAGCUGCUGUAUCUCACUGGUUUAACAUUUUGUGGUGAUCAAGAAUGUGCUGAUAAAUGGUUGUUUGUCUUGUGAGCCAUCACAUGCUCAUUUGCUCUCACCUGUGUUUCAGGUUUUAUAUGUUGAUGGUGAUCAGGAGAUUUUGAAUCUGAAAAAAGAACGUUGGUUUCUGCUUGAUGACCAAGUCAGUUACCUGAUUUUAUGCUACUCUUCAUUGUACAUUUUUAGUUUUCUGUCCCACCCCCAUUUCCCCCAACCCCCCCCCCCUCCUCAAAUGUUGAUGGGAUGUGAUAUUAUCAGGAGAAAAAGGGCAGCCUUACAAGUUCUGAUGCUGCUGCUGUUCGGUAAGCACUAUUUGAGAAGGCUGUGUGUAUUCCUUUAGAUCUUUAAAACUUCUUUCUGUUGAAAAUCUCUCUUUUAACUUAAUCCACAAGUUUUCUCAAGUAGUAAAUGAGGCACUUUUUGAGGUUGUACUCUGCUUGCCCAUAUCUGGAUCUGCAUGAUAAGUUUUAUGCUCAUGUUCAACGUGAGAAAAGUUGAUGGUAGUCAUUUGCUGUUCAUGUAGCCAUGACAUUGAUUGGGAACUUCUGUACAUGAAUUUCCUUUUGCUGGGUUGCUUGUUAUUGGUGCUAGAUGAUCGUCUUCUUGCUCAUUUAAUGACUUAACUGGUUAGUGUUUUCUUAUGUCUAAUUGUUUCAAAUUGAAUAAUCAAUAAAAGUUGGCCGAAAACGAGGAAAAGGGAGCUAUUGUAAUCGAAACAACCCUAAUAUUAACUGUAAAAAAAAAAAGACAAAAAUCCUACAAAACCAUGCUAUAUCAAACUCUUUUCUAUGGAAGACGUUUCAUGUAAUGCUUCAUAUCUUGUCAUUAUUUUUGGUAUUUUAUGUUUGUUUACUGGACUCUUUAACUCUGCGACAUUGCUCUACUUUUGACUAUAAUAACAGGCAUUUCCUCUACUCUAACAUGGUGAUGUACUUUAAAUUAGAGCAGGCAUUGGGAGUAUAACCACUUAAUCCAAAUUAGAAUUGUAUGUUUCUUUUAUUUUGUCAAUGCUUUUAUUUCUUUUCUCAUCUGAGGUUAUUGUUUGCUUUGGCCGAUGAACAUCAUUGAUUCACAGAAGAAGAAAGCGAACACAAUAACAAGAUAAAACUAAGAUGAUUCUGUUUCUUCAGAUAAAAUGUGUCUAUUAAUUAUUGAGUUCUGGAAUUUUGUGAUGCAUUCACGGCAUUUUGAUAAUUUGUGUAUGAUUGCAAUGAAAUAAAUUGCCAAGGGUUUCAUAACAGCCUAGGAAUUUCUGCUUUUAGAUCCCGAACUCGAGGCCGAAAACGUGGUAGGAAGUCAGCAGCAAGAUCUGCUCUGGAUAUUCUUCACAUCAAAACCGAAAUCGAUGUUUUGGCAAAGGAUGAUGAAGAAUCAAAGGAUGAGGAGGAGAAUCUCAGAAGUGAAACUCUCACGGAUGCAAGUAAAUCUAGCAACUAGAAGCUUAGCUGCACAAUCUAAAAAAGCAUCUCAGCAAUAACUCAACUGAUAUGCAUGGCAAAUCGCUAUUAUCGCAUCUUGAGAGUGGCAGAUUAAACUGCUCAAAACAAUAUAUGAGAAUAUCAUAAAGCUAACAUCAUGGCACUUUUGAAGAGCAGAUCUUCUGAAAUUUUGUGGAACUUGAUCUUGAUACAUGCUAUGCAGUCGAUUUCUGCAUUUAUAUAACCUUGUGAAACUUGUGGGGAUAGUAGUUAGCUCUUAGGCAUAGACAGGGCAUGACUUGUUAUCUCAGCCAUAUGGAGCUCUGGCAUGACUUAUUAGCACAGCCUAUGUUGUAAUGUAUCUCUAGUUUAGGUACCUUUGCUCCUUGGAAUCGCUUUUGGUGCCAGCAUGCUGAUGCUGCAAAUACAUGCUUGGUGGAAGUAACAAGUGAAUAAGGCUACUAUAUAUAUAUUCUGGUGGUAUUCCUGUCUAAAUUGGAACAAGUUCUUGCUUUCAGAACAUUUCCAUGCGUAUAUUUUUUUUUUUUUUUUUUUAACAUCUCUGUUUAGAAGUCAGAAAGAUCCAUGCAAUGACUUAAAUUCUUCCAUCCAGAUGAACUGGAAUAUCUUAAUUAAAACUGUGCUUUGCUGACUGAUGAGUGGUCAAAGAAAGAAAAUAUGUUUGUCUUUUGUGCUUUUAAAGUUUUGUGAGGGUUCAUUUGGAUUAGAUUGUGAAUGCAAGGGUUUAUGGCUUUUUGGCACUAUGCAUAACAUAGUCGUUUACAUUUUGCCAUUUGUUCUUGACAAACAUACUAGCUUAAUUCUUUAAACAAUAUAAAAUACAACAGACUUAAAAAGCAAAAUGUCAAAUAAAAUGGAAUUUUUAUGAAUUUUCUGUUGUUCUCUAGAAUUUUUUUUUUUGGGAUCUCUCGCUUACAUCCCUUAUUUUUUUCUUGAUGUUGCUUGUCUAGUUUUAUGGUAGUAUAAAUUUGGUACGAUUAAUUCUGAGUGUAAAAAGAACAAAAUAUUCAAAAUCCCUCCCACCCACCCCCCUUCCCAAAAAAAAAAAAAAAAAAAAAAAUCCUACUGUUUUUUUUUGCAUCGAAAUAUAUUUUUUUCACUUUGGUGAUAUCAUACUCAACAUCCAUCCUAAAACUUUUAUCGUGGAAAAAAAAUUAAUACAGAAUGUGAUGUGAACAAUAUGAUGGCACAUUACACAUAUGCAUAUGAGAAAUUAUUUUCCCUGAAGUACAGUUACAAAGUCCAAAAGCAAAAUUUAGAGUUAGCAUAAUUAUACUUCUUCUGUCCUAUUGAAACUUAAAAUUGUCAGACUUUUCAUUUUUUGAUAUUUUAAAAUGUUUGUCAUGUUAAAAAAUAAAAAAUUUAAAAUGUUUAUCAUGUUUUUGAGAUUUCCCUUUUUGUCUUUUCUUCUAAUAUAGUCUUUUUAUUUAAUCAUAUUCAUAUUAUCAUUUAAAUUUAAAUUUUAAAUUUGUUAGAAUAAAAUUUAAAAGAGAAAUACAAAUAUCACAAUCAAAAUAUUCUUAAAAAGUUGUAAUAUUGAAACAUGACAAACAAAUUGGGAUGGAGUAACUAAAUGAAAACAAACGUGAAUAAUUUUGGGAUAUUUUAAAAGCAUAAAAACGCAUGUUUAUUUACUACAUUUUUCUGAUCCUAUGAGAAAUAUUAAAUUUUAUUCCCUGGAAAUUUUAGCUAAAAGUCCAAAAUCGGAAGAAAAACAAAAUAGAAAAAUAAAUACAAAAGCCUACGUGAUUCUGCCUUCCAAAUUCUAGAGUAUAACGGAUAGACCAACUUGGCGCCAAGUCUCAAUUCUCGUCUCACACUUAGGCUAGCCUUUUCAUCUCUCUCGUUCGCUACAUCAGUGAUCAUAUUUCUUCGCUCAUCCAAGUUUUUCCUCAGGUGAAUACCAUAUCUCUAUAUUUCUCUGUGUAAUCUCCAGAUUGAGUUCAUUUCUUCCUUGAAUUCUAAGAGUUCAUGGUUUUGCGGUUGAUUAUCCUUUUUUUGGGGCCAAAUGUCUAUGUGUUUCAUUUUGGUGAUCUUUUGAUUGCCGAACAAUGGUUUUGCGGAUGAUUAUCUUGGUUAAUGGGUUUAUUGUGAAUGAAAAUGCUUGCAACUUUGCAGAUGGUGACUUGUUUCAAAUUGGGAUUUCUGCAUUAUACAUGAAACGAAAUUGUAUGUUUGAAUACCAAUAAAAAGGCCAUGGAAUGAAAACAAAUAAAACAAUCAAACAGGGAACUAAAGAUAAGUUGAUUGAUCUUUUUAUACUGAUUGUUGAAAGACUUCUAUGAACUGAAGAUUUAUACAUUUUCUUUCUGGGUAAGUCUGAAGAUAUAUCUAUUGCUGCUAUUACAUGAUGAUUUGGGUGAAAAGCCACUGGUAUUUGUUGUAUGUUGUCAAAGAGUAUCAAGAACUAAUUAGUUACUUCUUGUUAUGUGUUUGUUGAGUAGUGAUGAAGAGGAAGAGAAACUCGAAUGCAGUUAGAACCCAAAAUGGGGAAAGAGAAGCAGAUGGAGAGAUUGAGAUAACGAGUACUUCCAUACUGGAUUUACCUGAUUUUAUCUUCACGAAUGUUGUGCUGUAGCUGCCAAUUAAGGCGAUCAUCAUGUGCAAGUGUGCUUGUAAACCUUAGCGCCGCAUCAUAUCAGAUCCCCAGAUGCAUUACUCUCGUGCACAGCCUUGUCCUCUGGUUUGGACUUUGGGUAACUCACGAGUUUCCAGAAUGCUUUACCUAAUUGACCAUCUGAGGUUAAUCUGAGCUACAAUUCAGAUUACUAUUCUCCUGAUGGGGUCAACUUGAAGCUGGAUACCAGGUUGAAGAUCCCGCUGCGUAAUGCUCAAAUGGUGCCUCAGAAUCCUAGUGAUGCCAACUUGAGUCUUAGCAGUAAGGGUGGCUCUAAGAAGCGUUGCAUGAAUGUGAGAACCAUUAAAGCGAGGACGAAAGAGCAGAAGUUUCAGAUUGUUAAUUCAUGCAAUGGGUUUCUUUGCUUGUCGGAUCCCUCAUGUAACAAUCCCUUGUGUGUAAUCCAGUAACAGGGGAGUAUUUAAACCUUCCAAAGAUAGAUGAAGUUGAUAACAGCCCGAAAGAUAUAGUAUCUUGUGGUUUGGCUUCAGUGAGGAGACUAACGAAUGUAAAGUUAUUAGAAUGUUUGGUCAAGGAAAUCUGGAUUUUUGUAGUUGCCCGAUUACUGGUAAAGAAAUCUUAGAUGAAAGAGUGGCUGAGGUACAUACACUUGGCUCAGGAUCUUGGAGACACAUUGGUCAUGCUCCACCUUAUAGCUGUGAACUAAAAUUUCCUUCUUAUCUAAAUGGAUCUCUUCAUUGGAUAUGUGUAGAUGACUGGAAGUUCGACUUCAUGUACUCUUUUGACCUUGGCCAAGAGCAAUUUAGAAGCAUUAAGCCAUCUUCUUUAAAGAAUGGCAUGAAGGGUUGGGAUAGUCUGCAUAAUAUGAGCAUGGGCGUCUUAAGAAGUAGCUUGUGUUUGUGUGUUGGCUCAGUCCAUGAUAAAAUCCACAUAUGGAUUAUGCGGAAAACCCAAAACUUGGAAAAAUUCAUUUCCAUUCAGUUGUCUUUUGAUGAUAGGUGGCCUGUUGGUGUGCAACAGCCCAUAAAUUUCUUGGAAAGUAAAGGGUUGUUGAUGUUUCGGAACCCUAAAAGUGCAUUCCUGUACUAACAUCAAAACUGAAUUUGAAGUAGUUGCUCAUACCCCAAGUUUCAUCUCGUUCAAGGAUGUAGUGAUGGGAGAUAAUGCUGAGAUACUGAAUAUCAAUUCCGGAUGAUGGUUUACUACAUCUUAUGGUGUUUAAAUAAAUUACUCUUUUUUGCUAUUCCUGCAUUUUGUCUGCUUCAUACUGUACUAGUUAUUAGGUAUUGAAAAUUCGUUAUGUCUGAUGAAACUGAGAAUGCUUUGACCUUUGCAAGCGAUAGACAUAUAAGUUCUACCUUAUAUUGCAUAUUUUUGGGUAAAAAAUUAAUUGUCACACACCAAGUCUUUUCUGCCAUGUUGAGAACUUAACUUCCUCUGUUACUUGCAUGAUGAGAUCAUGAAUACCACAGCAAACUCGUAUCUUCUGAUGAAUUGUGCUUACUUUGGUUACUGGCAUUCUCCAUUGCCAUCGAUUCACUGCCUUUCAUCUCCAUAUGAUCCUAAUUGUCGAGCUCAAACCUGCAUUGACAUGGAGAUGAAAGGAUCAUAUGGCAAAAGAGUUGCUGAAAUGCUGUCAGCUUUAUGGUCUGUGUUUGCUAAAUGUACUCCAAUUGAAUUAUUGCUGAGUGGGUUCAUUACUUUAAAGAGUUGUACCAAGAUAUACAGUAGUAAACAUGCUGGACUUUUCAUCCGUAAAAUGAACCUGGAUGCUAAUAUUCAGUGCAGUUAUGUGCAUUAACCAUAUCCAGUGGUAUCCAUCCACUGGCUAAAUUUCUUUUCGACAUUCUUUACAAAUUUUAGUACUUGCAGAAUCCAGUAGUGAUGCUUCAAAGGUUUGAUUUCUUUGAUAUGAUAUAGGUGCAAUGAGUCCAAGCUGCUGGGAGGAACCAAAGCUCUCUUCUUGGUAGAAGAACUCAGGGAUUUGGAGAUGGACACAGAUUCCUCUUAUUACAGCGACCAAGAAUGAUCUACUGCAGAUUAGCACACUUGGGAAAGCAACUUGAAAUGUUUUGAGAACUUAGUGCCUGCAGUUGAACUUGGAAGCUGUUUUCCCCUUUGUUAUUGCGAAUCUACAUGCUUUUGCUAAGUUAUAAUUUCAUGAUAACUAUUUUAAAACAAUGCGAGCACCUCCUUUAGAUGUAUGACUGAUUUGAAGCUUGAUGUUUUAGUCAUCAGCAACCCAUGGAAAUGUUUACUCUCUUUCAAGUUACUCUGUCCACCUAUUAUGUAUGGUAGCAACAAUUAGACCUCUCUAAGAGAGGCUCUUAAAACACGCAUCCGAUUCUCGGCACCUUAAGGGAAUCGGACACCUUAAGGAGUCCCUUAUCGAGUCUCAUUCUAAAAAUUUGACAUAUGUAACAAUUCAUGUGAUUUCUCUAAUUCAAUCCUGCCCGAAACGUAUUUGGCUAUUCUUUUCGCUUGAAUAUUAUGAAAUCCAGUCAGUGCAUUAAUGAUCCAACCAAUGAGAAAUCAUAUCAAACAAAAAUCCAUAAACCCUAAAUCCAUAAUCAGAAUUAUUCUAAAUCCUCUUAGCAUCCGAUGUUUUCCGUCACUCUUUACACCUUUUUUUAUUUGAAUAUUUGUGGUUGAUUUGGAAUUCCAGAAAAUCACUAUCAAAUAUCUGUGAUUUACUUGACUUGGAAUUCUAAAAAUUACUACUCCUUUUAUGAAAAAUAAAUUUGUUUGAAGAUGUUAAAUUUUUAGGAUGAGACCCAGUAGAAAGCUCCUUAAGGGAGCUGAGGAUCCGAAAUUAGUGCCAUUCUCAAAAGAUUAGUCCUACAGAAAUUUCAUGAAGUAUAGAAUACAUGAAAAGUUUCCUUUUCUCGUAAGUUGGAUUUGUUUUUGUUUCAAAACCCCUCUUUGCUUUCCGUAAUAGGUGGUUUUUGCAAUUUUCCCAUCAACAUCAAUUUUCCAAGGGACAAUCUUUAACAUGCAUUUACCUUACAAAAAGUGCAAGUAUAUUGUGAGGUAUCAUGUGUUGGCAUAUUAUAAGAAUUUUUUCCGAAAGAAUAUGAGAAGUCCAAAAGAAAAAUCUAGAAUUGGAAAAAUUUUAAGAAUAAAAUCGAAUGUGAUUAAUUUUGAUUAUAGUUGAAAAUUACAAGGUAAAAUACAGGUUUAUAAACAUAAUUUUCUGAAUACCAUAUAUGAUCAACUCUAAAUUUUGUUUUCUGAAAAUGUAUCAAAAAGUUCAAAAAUGACAAAAGCAAGUACGUACAAAAUCCUAGCGACUCUGCUUUCUAUUUUCCGCCAUUGAAGUAAACUGCAGGCCAAUUUGGCGCCAAGUCACAAUUCCGGAUACAUUUGGGCUUGCCCCUUCAUCUCUCUCUCUCUCUCUCCCAUUUUCAAACUUUUCUCUCAGGUACACAUUUCUCUAUCUGACUAUCAGUAAUCUCCAGAAAAAAAUUAAUUUAUUUACUCCUUGCAAUCUAGGAGUUUGUGGAAAGUUUUUUUUGGCUAAAUGACUUUGAUCAAUGUAUAUGUAUGUUUUUCUUUUUUCUUUUGAUAUUGUGAUUGCAGAGCAAUAGUCUUGCAGAUGAUUAUCUUUAUUAAUGGGCUUCUUGUAAAUGAAAACUCUUGAAAUUUACAUCUGCGGACCGAUACUAACUUGUUUCGAAUUGGGAUUUCUGUAUUUUUGCAUGAAAUCAAGAAAUAUGUUUCGAAUACCAAUGAAGAAAAAAAGGAACUAAACAUAAUUUGUGGUCUUUUUAUAUGAUUUUUCCGACUUUACUUAUGAUUGUUCAGAUUUUAAAGGCUUCUAUAGAAUGAAGAUUUAUACAUUUCUCGUAUUGAAUGAUGAUGUGGCUAAAGUUUUUGCUCCUCAGAUGUCUGUUUCAUGUUGUCACACAAUAUCUUGAACUAAUUUGUUGCUGCCUGUUAAGUGUUGAUGUUGAUCGAUUUUUUGCUUUGGACUUUCUUGUAGAGUAAUGAUGAAGAGGAAGAGAAACUCAAAGGCAGUUGGAAGCCAACAUGUGGAAAGAGAUGCAGAUGAAGAGACUGAGACAAAGAGUACUUCUAUACUGGAUUUACCCGAUUUUAUCUUUAAAGAUGUUGUGCUGCGACUCCCACUCAAGGCAAUCAUCAUGUGCAAGUGUGUUUGUAAACCUUGGCGCCGUAUCAUAUCAGAUCCUCAGUUUGCUAAGAUGCAUUUUGCCAGUGCACAGCCUUGUCCUCUGGUUAGGACUUUGGGUAACUCAAGAGUUUCAAGAAUGCUUACCUAAUUGAACCGUCCGAGAUUAAUGUGAGCUACAAUUCAGAUAACUAUUCUCCUGAUGGGGUUAAUUUGAAGCUAGAGACCAAGUUGAAGAUCCCGCUGCGCAAUGCUGAAAUGGUGCCUC
This 66127-nucleotide long non-coding RNA is filed under the name Coffea arabica (coffee). RNAcentral describes it as "long non-coding RNA (CARA_LNC006505)". The record is from RNAcentral. Lineage: Eukaryota; Viridiplantae; Streptophyta; Magnoliopsida; Gentianales; Rubiaceae.